CCGCCACCCCUUCCCCAUCUGAGGGCUGCCGCACCCCUUAGGGGUGGGAACCCUAAGGGCUGCGCCCCCUCCCUCUCCCCCUAUAUAUAGAUGAGGUCCGGGGUUGUUUGAGACACGGUUUAAUCUCUCUCUCGCAUCCCUGCUUCUCUCCCUCCUCCUCUCUGCCGGCGCUUUGGCGAAGCCUUGCCGGGAGACCUCGUCUCUCCACCAACACCACGCCGUCGUGUUGCUGGUCUUCUUCCUCAACCUCUCCCUCCUCCUUGCUGGAUCANNNNNNNNNNNNNNNNNNNNNNNNNNNNNNNNNNNNNNNNNNNNNNNNNNNNNNNNNNNNNNNNNNNNNNNNNNNNNNNNNNNNNNNNNNNNNNNNNNNNGGAUGGUACAGAAACACCAGAGGCUUGACUCGUUGAGUUGGGUCGCUACACCUAAACAGCUGAAUAAUGGUGAGUACCACAUUUUUACCACCAACGGCUGCAAAAAGGAUAGGGAGCGUAAGUAGACAUCCAUCAACAUGAUUGAGCCAACAUUCCCUAGAUAUCUCAACUCGUCCGAGCAACCAAUUGUUUGGAGCCAUGAGGAUCAACCGCCUCGGGUUGAUAACCCGGGAGAUCUAGCUUUGGCAGUAGCACCUCAGGUUGGUGGAUACACCCUCACAAAAGUCCUCAUGGAUGGAGGGAGCAGCAUCAACAUUUUAUAUUAUGACACUUUCCGGAGGAUGAACCUGCAGGACAACACUUUGCAAACUUCGUCCAUAGUUUUUUGUGGAAUCAUUCGUGGGAAGUCAGCAUGCCCAGUUCGGCGGAUCAAGCUUAAUGUUGCUUUUCGGGAUGAACAUAAUUCCAGAUGUGAGCCCCUAAUGUUUGAGGUGGUGAAAAUAAAGAGUCCUUAUCAUGCUCUCUUUGGAAGGCUGGCUUAUGCCCGGUUCAUGGCCCGUCCUUGUUAUAUCUACCUUAAGCUCAAUAUGCUGGGUCCUAAAGGCACCAUAAUAGUGGGAGGUAGAAUAAAGAUAGCUCAAGAAUGUGAGGAAGGAGAUGUUGCUUAUGCUGAGUCGGCCUGUGCUACUGAAAAGAUAAAAUCCCUCACAGACAACUCUGGUAAAGCUUCUCUCAAGUAAGCCACCAGUUUGAGUAAUCCAACCCGGCCAAUUUCUUUUUGCCCUAUCACACUAGGAGCUACCGUCUCAUUAUCUUUUGUACCAAUCCCCAAAUUCUGUACAUACUUCUAAAAUAUUUGAAUCUAAUAAAGCUUGCUUUUAGCAAAAUUGAGCAUGAGUUUUUUACCACCCAGUAUGUUAGCUGGGGGCUUCAAAGUUCAAAUAAAUUAUUAUGGUCAAUAAAAUUAAGUCGGCUUAUCUCGGUGCUACCUGCCCCGAGUUGUUUAGCAGUAAUAGCAUUGUCUUCUGCAAUCCUAUGUCAGGCCUUUCUAUUUUGAUAAUAGGUCACUUGGAGGCUUCGAACUCAAAGAGUUCAGCCUCUUACCCUCUUGAUCGUCAAAGACGCCACAAAAUUAUUAAACCUGUUGGUAUUUUUUGGCGACUCUGAAGAAGGUGACUCUGUGUACUCUUGAUUGAUCAUUCCAUUAUGGACCCUGAAUCGGCAAGGUUAAAACAUGGGUAUAUCAUGUGAGAACUGACAUGUUGAAAGCUAGGAUAAAUCUUGGGUUAUUAUGCCUGCUUCGUUGAACCAAGUCUAGGCCUCAAAAGUUAACAUUUUAUUUUUAACCGCGUCUCACUAAGCCGGUUUGCGAGUCUUGACUAAUACUCUGCAUGAUAUAUUAUUUUUUAGAAACUUUUUGUAGAGAGUACCAUUUAAAAACUAUCAUAAAAACAUGAUUAUUACAUGUUCCAAAUAUUUUGUUUUUAAAUAAAUUUUAUUUUCUCCUGCAAUAAUGGCGUAAGGAGAUGGAACAGCGUUACCACAUCAUCAUGGAAAACCGGGUCAUAAGAGAUAUAGCUAUAAAGUUUCUGAUGGUUGGCUGAAAUAAACACGCUCGAAGGCGUGACCACAUGCAUCUCAGAGUUGUCGCUACCCUAUUACAGACUCACAUCAAGAGUCAUCAAAAUCCAAAAAGGAAUUUACCAGAAGAUAAAGUUUUUAUGAUAGGCGAGUUAUUUAUGACCCACCAUCAGUUUACGCCGUUGGCACAUUCCGCACCCGAUUCUUCCGACUCGUCGUCAUCAUCAAUAUGAUCCUGGCCUUGUUGGAUCCACCGAAUUGAUCUCGGAGAUUCAAAAUCUGAAGCGGUCCCAGUUGAAGUAGAAGAUCUGAUGUUAGAAUCCGUCUUUUUCUCAUAAUGAGGUGGAAUGAGCUCCAGAUGCUCGUCUUUAGGUACUAGAACACGCUCAUUAUCAGUGGUAUAUGUCGGGUGAUACGUCUCAAAACGUAUCUAUAAUUUUUGAUGGUUUCACGUUGUUAUCUUGUCAACUUUGGAUGUUUUAUUACCUUUUAUAUCUUUUUUGGGACUAACUUAUUAACUCAGUGCCAAGUGCGAGUUCCUGUUUUUUCUAUGUUUUUGACUCUUUUCAGAUCUGAUUUUGGAACGGAGUCCAAAUGGAAUAAAAUCCCCGAAAUGAAUAUUUCCAGAAUGGAAGAAGAUUGGGAGGCUUGAGGCCAAGCAAGUGGGCCCACAGGGGGCCCACAAGCCCUGUUGCCGCGACCAGGGGGGAGGCCGCGGCAACCAAGCUUGUGGCCUCCCUGGCGCUCCCCUGCCCUAGGUCUUUGGCCUAUAAAUUCCCUAAAAAUCCAGAAAAAAUCAGGGCGUCCACAAAAACACUUUUCCGCCGCCACAAGCUUCCGUUUCCGCGAGAUAUCAUCUGGAGACCCUUCCCGGUGCCCUGCUAGAGGGGACUUUGGAGUUGGAGGGCUUCUUCAUCAACAUCAUCGCCCCUCCAAUGACUCAUGAGUAGUUCACUUCAGACCUACGGGUCCGUAGUUAGUAGCUAGAUGGCUUCUUCUCUCUCUUGGAUCUUCAAUACGAAGUUCUCCAUGAUCUUCAUGGAGAUUUAUCCGAUGUAAUCCUCUUUGGCGGUGUGUUUGUCGAGAUCCGAUGAAUUGUGGAUCUGUGAUCAGAUUAUCUAUGAUAUAUAUUUGAGUCUUUGCUGAUUUCUUAUAUGCAUGAUUUGAUAUCCUUGUAAGUCUCUCCGAGUCUUGGGUUUUGUUUGGCCAACUAGAUCUAUGAUUCUUGCAAUGGGAGAAGUGCUUGGUUUUGGGUUCAUACCGUGUGGUGACCUUUCCCAGUGACAGAAAGGGCAGCAAGGCACGCAUCAUGUUGUUGCCAUCAAGGGUAACAAGAUGGGAUUUUAUCGUAGAUAUGAGAUUGUCCAUCUACAUCAUGUCAUCUUGCUUAAGGCGUUACUCUGUUCUCAUGAACUUAAUACACUAGAUGCAUGCUGGAUAGCGGUCGACGUGUGGAGUAAUAGUAGUAGAUGCAGAAAGUAGCGGUAUACUUGUUUUGGAUGUGAUGCCUAUAGAUAUAAUCAUUGCCAUAGAUAACGUCACGACUUUGCGCGGUUCUAUUAAUUGCUCGACAGUAAUUCGUUCAUCCACCGUCUACUUGCUUUCAUGAGAGAAGCCACUAGUGAACACUACGGCCCCCGGGUCUCUUCACACCUAUCGUUUCCACUUUUGCUUUUACUUUGCUUUGUUUCUUUGUUGCUUUCAGUUCUCACUUGGCAAACAAUCUAUAAGGGAUUGACAACCCCUUCAUAGCGUUGGGAGCAAGCUCUUUGUGUUUGUGCAGGUACUUGUGAUAUUCCUUCAUUGGAUCGAUACCUUGGUUCUCAAAAUUGAGGGAAAUACUUACCGCCGCUGUGCUACAUCACCCUUUCCGCUUCGAGGGAACACCAACGCAAGGCUCCAAGGCCACGGGGGAAUCCUUUGCAUAUUUGCCUAGGAAGUCCCUAAAGGCGUAGCCGUAGCAGAAGGAUUCCUGGUGCCGUUGGUGAGGAGUAUCAAGGCAAGAAUAGUCUCCCGUCAGCACGCUUGUUUCUGGCGCCGUUGGAAGGUCUUUUGUUGCAGUAGCACCGGGUAAUGAUGAGAGGUAUCAACCAGCUCUGCCAGAAUGGUUGCAAGGGGUCGGGUCUCCUUCAUGACACGAGCUAACGGGGGGAUAACUCCGGAGUAGGCUCAUCAAGCCUACUCCUCUAUACUUCAGUGUAGAGAGGGGCGAAAGCUUCCUCAAUGACCGGCUCCUCCUGGCCGGCUAUAAAGUCCAUGCUGCCUAAGAGCGUAGCCGUCUACUCUCUGGCCGGCUGGCUAGCCGCCAUCUGGCUGAAGGGCACCUGUCGCAUCGAUCCCCAUGAUGUGACGGGGCCUUCGAUUAAAGGCGAAAGUACCUCAGCACGGGUACGAUGGAGAAGCAUACACAUGGCUACCGUGGCGGCGGCCGUACUGCUAACCGGUGCCGGCUCCGACCCAUCAACAGUGUAAAGUACCCGCAUGCCACUACCAACUCCAUUACCUGGCCCGGCGUGGCUACAGUAGAGACGGCCGUACCGCUGACCGACGCCGGAUCCUGCAAGACGACGUCCGUCGUACCGCACGCACCCUGCAUUGGGAACACGCACCAAUCCAAUAGGCUAGCCGGUGGGUCCCAGGGCCAGAUGGGACCUUGCAGCCGCCGGGCCUCUCGAGCGACAAGACUAAUCCUCAAUGGCCCCCCUAGCCGGCCUGAGAGGCUGCCAGCCGACCCCCCCUAUUGUACCUAUUAUCCAUUUUGUAGGCCGGUGGGUUCGUCUAUAACCCCCCGGCCCCCCUCCAUGCAGAGGGCCAGCCAUUCUCACACCCACACACAUCACACAGGAGAGGCAGAUAGCGAGCCGGCUGCUCCUUCUUCCUCCUCCAUCGAACAGCUCAAGGAGCAUUUUGUAAUCACCUUGGUUCAUCAGCCAUUCCGAUAGGACUAGGGGUAUUAUCUCCCAUGGAGAGCCCCGAACCUGGGUACAUCGUGUGUCUUGCAUUAUUAGCUACCAAUCUCGUUCCCGGAGUCCACCGGUGUCCCUUCAGUCCCAACCACUCUCGAUAAGCCUACCCAUGGCAUUUGUCGUGAGAAAACGACGAUAGUUGGCGCCCACCAUGGGGCCGUCUGCGGCACCGGUCUGAGUUACGCUCGGGCGGGACCCUUCGCCAACCCUACCGGAUGCCUCGCGUCUCGACUGAUCAGCACACCCAUGGAGGCUGCCCCUGCGGAGGUUUCUGUGGUGUUGAUCGACAACUCAGCCCGUCUCGUCGGCUCUGCCAUUGAGAUCACCAACGAGCCUCUCGGUGACGGCGUUGCCCCUGACGUCGCUCGCCUCUGCGUUCUCUUCGACAACCUACGCCUCGAUGAUGAGCCUCGCCAACUUGGCAGGGACAUCGACAUCGAUGCCCUCUGCACACACUUCAACAAACUCAGUCUCGAAGAUGCUCCUGCACACGACGAGUACCUGAUACGUCUCCAACGUAUCUAUAAUUUUUUAUGGUUCCAUGCUAUUAUAUUGUCAAACUUUGGAUGUUUUGUAUGACUUUUAUAUCUUUUUUGGGACUAACUUAUUAACUCAGUGCCAAGUGCCAGUUCCUGUUUUUUCCGUGUUUUGACCCUUUUCACACGAGAAUAUUAAAUGGAGUCCAAACGGAAUAAAACUUCCGAAAAGAUGUUUUCCGGAACAGAAGAUACGCAUGGGGCAUGAGAACCAAGGCAGAGGCCACCAUGGGAGGCCACAAGCCCCCUAGGCGCGUCCAGGGGGACCUGCGCCUAGCAGGCUUGUGGCCCCCCUGUGGCUCGUCUGCCCUACUUCUUCCGCCUAUAAAUCCUCGAAAAAUCCAAAACCACGAGAGAGAUCGACGAAAAUACUUUUCGGCCGCCGCAAGCUUCUGUCCCCGCAAGAUCCCAUCUGGGGCACGUUCUGGUGCCCUUCCGGAGGGGGAUUCGGAUACGGAGGGCUUCUUCAUCAACACCAUUGCCUCUCUGAUGAUGCGUGAGUAGUUCACCCUGGACCUUCGGGUCCAUAGCUAGUAGCUAGAUGGCUUCUUCUCUCUCUUGGAUCUUCAAUACAAAGUUCUCCAUGAUCUUCAUGGAGAUCUAUCCGAUGUAAUAUUCUUUUGCGGUGUGUUUGUCGAGAUCCGAUGAAUUGUGGAUUUCUGAUCAGAUUAUCUAUGAAUCUUAUUUGAGUUUCUUCUGAUCUCUUAUAUGCAUGAUUUCAUAUCCUUGUAAUUCUCUUCGAGUUGUGGGUUUUGUUUGGCCAACUUGAUCUAUGAUUCUUGCAAUGGGAGAAGUGCUUAGUUUUGGGUUCAUACCGUGCGGUGACCUCACCCAGUGACAGAAGGGGUGGCGAGGCACGCAUCGUGUUGUUGCCAUCAAGGGUAAAAGGAUGGGGUUUAUAUCUAUUGCAUGAAGUUAUCCAUCUACAUCAUGUGAUCUUUCUUAAGGCAUUACUCUGUUCGUCAUGAAUUCAAUACACUAGAUGCAUGCUGGAUAGCGGUCGAUGUGUGGAAUAAUAGUAGUUGAUGCAGAAAGUAUCGGUCUACUUGUCUCGAAUGUGAUGCCUAUAUGUAUGAUCAUUGCCUUAGAUAUCGUCAUGACUUUGCGCUGUUCUAUCAAUUACUCGACAGUAAUUUGUUCACCCACCGUAAUAUUUGCUAUUUUGAGAGAAGCCUCUAGUGAACACUAUGGCCCCCGGGUCUACUUCACAUCAUAUUUUCAGCCUUACACUUUUACUUCAUUGCACUUUCCGCCUUCAGAUCUCACUUUGCAAUUAAUCUUGAAGGGAUUGACAACCCCUUUAUAGUGUUGGGUGCAAGCUCGUUUGUGUUUGCGCAGGUACUCUGGACACUUGGCUUGAUUCUCCUACUGGAUUGAUACCUUGGUUCUCAAACUGAGGAAAAUACUUACUGCUACUAUGCUGCAUCACCCUUUCCUCUUCAAGGGAAAAACGAACGCAAGCUCUAGAGGUAACAAGAAGAAUUUCUGGCGCCGUUGCCGGGGAGGAUCAUGUCAAGAAUAGUCUCCCGUCAACGUGUCAAUUUCUGGCACCGGGGAUUAUUCUAAGUGAAGCUUAUCCAAGUAAGUGUCGCAAACUCAUCUCUUGAAUUUACUUUUUUUUGCCUCUAGUUUUCCUCUCCCCCACUUCUGAAAAAAACAAAAAUUUACAAAAAUAUUUUCCUUUUUCGUUCGCCCUUUUCCUUCGCUUGCUUCCUGCCUGCUUGAGUGGGAUAGUCUACCUUUCCUCAUGGCUAGACCUACCGCUUCGAACGAUACUCCCGAGAGCGAAGUUCUCAAUUUUAAACAAAAUUAGGAAGAAGACUUAAAUGACGCUUGGUAUAGGAUUUGCAACACUCAGAGUAGAUCUACUCGUAAGCAAUCUACUACCGUCCUACUUCGCAGCUUUUAUGUGGGUAUUUACCCUUGGAAUAGGUAUGUUCUUGAUACCAUCGUAGGUGGAAGUUUCUUGGGUAGCCAUACCGUUGAUUCUUACGGUGCUUUGAUAAAUCUGGUAGGCUCACCCCCACUCAUGGUUAAUGGAACCAACUUAACUUUGGAACAUGUGAUGCGUAGGUUGGAUAUCAUUGAAAAUAAAGUUGCUACGAUUGAACUCAUUGAGAAUUUGGAUAAAAAGAUCCACAAUCAAAUCACUCAGUACGGAUCCAAGGUGGGAAUGGCUUUGAAAAAUCUAAAGGAGAGGGAACCCACAGUUAACAAAAACUAGGUCAUCAUUCCGCUAGGAUUGGCAAACUAGAGGAUGUUAUAACCAACUUGGGUUCCGCUUUUGCCGCUGUGCAGAACACUCCAAUUUUUACCCACAAUAAGGCCACCAAGUUUGUUUUUGUUCCUAAAAAUAGUGGUGAACCAUCUAGUAAUAUAGAUGAAGACCUUAAGAUGAUGAGGGCUAUUUAUGGUUUGAGCACCAAAGACGAGGAUAUGUGAUUCUUUCACCUUAUGCCUAGCUAAGGGCGUUAAACAAUAACGCUUGUUGGGAGGCAACCCAAUGAAUUUAUAUUUGAUUUUUGCUUUCUGUUUUGUUGCGUCCACACCAUCAUAAUUCUGUUAUGAUUGUGUCUUUUGUGUUUGAGCCAAGUAAAACCUUUAUGACUAGUUUGGUGAUGGUUGUUUGAUCCUGCUGGAAAAAGACAGAAACUUUUCGCUCACGAAAUUAUUUUUCAUUUUAAUCCAUAAAGAGAUUUUGAGUUGAUUCUUUUUGUUGCUGGUUGAUAUGGCAAUUGCCCAAACUGUCGUAAUGUUUCAGAAUUGUUGAGAUACCAGAAGUAUACGAAGUAUACAGAUUGCUACAGACUGGUCUGUUUUUGACAUAUUCUGUUUUUGUUGUGUUGGUUGCUUGUUUUGAUGAAACUAUGUAUAGUAUCGGGGGGGGCGGGUACUGAUACGUCUCCAUCGUAUCUACUUUUCCAAACUCUUUUGCCCUUGUUUUGGACUCUAAUUUGCAUGAUUUGAAUGGAACUAACCCGGACUGACGUUGUUUUCAGCAGAAUUGCCAUGGUGUUGUUUUUGUGCAGAAAUGAAAGUUCUCGGAAUGUCUUGAAACUUUACGGAGAAUAUUUAUGGAAAAUAUGAAAAAUACCUGUGCAAAGAUCCACCGGAGGGGACGGGCCAGUGGGCCACAAGCCCUGUAGCCGCGGCCUCCCCUCUGGUCGCGGCUACGAGGCUUGUGGGGCCCACGUGCCUCUGCCGCCCCCAAUUCCAGCGCUAUAUAUUCCCUUUCAUCCCGGAAAAAAUCAAGAGAGAAGAGUUCAUUGCGUUUCACGAUCCAGAGGCGCCUCCACAUCCCGUUCUUGCCCUGGAGGGCAGAUCUGGAGUCUGUUUUGUGCUCCGGAUCAAGGAGAUCGUCGCCAUCGUCAUCAUCAACCUUCUUCCCUCUCCAAUUCCAUGAAACUCUUCAUCGUUCGUGAGUAAUCUAUUCAUAGGCUCGCUGGGCGGUGAUGAGUAUGAUGAGAUCUAUCAUGUAAUCGAGUUAGUUUUGACGGGGAUUGAUCCCUAGUAUCCACUAUGUUCUGAGAUUGAUGUUGCUACUACUUGGCUAUGCUUAAUGCUUGAAACUAGGGCCCGAGUGCCAUGAAUUCAGAUCUGAACCUAUUAUGUUGUCACCAAUAUAUGUGUGUUUUAGAUCCGAUCUUGCAAGUUGUAGUUACCUACUAUGUGUUAUGAUCCGGCAACCCCGGAGUGACAAUAACCGGAACCACUCUCAUUGAUGACCAUAGUUUGAGGAGUUUAUGUGUUCACCAAGUGCUAAUGCGUUGGUCCGGUUCUUUAUUAAAAGGAGAACCUUAAUAUCCCGUAGUAUCCAUUUGGACCCCGCUGCCACGGGAGGGAUGGACAAUAGAUGUCAUACAAGUUCUUUUCCCUAAGCACGUAUGACUACACACGGAAUGCAUGCCUACAUCACAUUGACGAACGGGAGCUAGCCACAUAUCUCUCCGUGUUAUAACUGUUGCAUGAUGAAUGUCAUCCAACAAAUCACUGAUCCAUUGCCUACGAGUUUGUCCCACUGCUAUUGUUACUUGCUGCUGCUGUUACUUGCUUUGCUCUGCUGCUGUUACUACGGUUGCUGCUACUGUUACUUGCUUCUACUAUUACUUGCUUCGUCAUGCUGCUGCUGCUACUACUGUUGCUACUACUGUUACUUGCUGUUGCUGUUACUUGCUACUGUUGCUAAUUGCUACUCCUAUCACUACUGCUGUUCCUUGCCACUACUGUUACUCGUUACACUGCUGCUACCUGCUACAAUACUUUUCUGGUGCCAUUGAUACUUCAGUUAGGAAUAAUCUGUCGUCAACAGAUUCUUUCCUAGCACCGUUGCUAUCAUACUACCUUUGCUGCUUAUAUACUGCUUGCAGAUACUAAUCUUUCAAUUGUGUUUGAGCCAACAACUCAACUGCUAAUACUGGAGAAUAUCCUUUCAUUCCCAUCGUGUCGAACCAACAAAUUUGGGUUGAAUACUCUACCCUCAAAACCUGCCGCGAUCCCACACGCUGGUGGGCCAUUGCAAGACAAUUGCUAAUUGUUGAGCAACUGGAAACAACUCUUUUUUGGCACCGUUGCCGAGGAGGAAUAGCUAUAUUCUCUGAGUCACUUGGGAUUUAUAUCUUGUGAUCACUAUGAAGAAUCGGAAAGAUCUGAGAACCAAAGUCUUGCCCUCAACUCUGAGGGGAGGUAAGGAACUGCCAUCUAGCUCUGCACUUGAUUCACCUUCAGUUAUGAGUAAGUUUGCGACACCACCUCGUGCUAGAAAUCUUGAUAUGUCGCGUGUGCUAGAUGAUGCUAGAGAUGCUACUGCUAUUGAUGAUGCUUAUGAUGAUACUAUGCCUGAUACUGCUAGAGAUGCUAUGCGUGAUACUGCUAGAGAUGCUAUGCCUGAUACUGCUAUCCAUGAUGCUAUGCUUGAUGCUGCUUUGCCUGAUGAUGCUAGAGAUGCUAUUUUGCCUGAUUAUGCUAUGCUUGAUACUGCUAGAGAUACUACUUUGCCUGAUAUGCCACUAGGGGUAUUCCUUGAUGCUCAUAUUGCUAGAGUUAUUGCCAAUGCUCGUGAUGCUUCUGAAACUCUCGAUACUAUUGAGAUAGAACCUGCUUUUGCUCCUGCUAGAUCUAGCUCUCCUAGAUAUGAAUUGCCUGAUAUACCUGAGGGUUAUGUUAUGGAGGGAGAGAUAGCUGAGGAUUUUCUUGCGUGUAAGGAUGGCUAUGACGCUGAGAAAUUACUUCUCAAGUGGAAGGAAAAAUCUCUGAAAGCUAGGAUGAAAUACAACCCGAAGUUUGCCACUUCACCUAUCUUUAUCACCGAUGAGGAUUAUGAAUUCUCUGUCGACCCUGAGAUAAUCUCUCUUGUCGAAUCUGAUCCUUUCCACGGUAAUGAGUUUGAGACGGUCGUAGCCCAUCUUACCAAACUACACGAUAUAGCCACCCUUUUCACUAGUGAGGAGAAGAUCCGCUACUACUAUAUCCUUAAGUUGUUUCCUUUCUCUCUAAAGGAUGACGCUAAAUCCUAGUUCACUUCUCUUGCUCCUGGAUGUGUGAGUAGUCCCCAGGAUAUGGUCUAUUACUUCUGUGAGAAAUAUUUCCCUGCCCAUAAGAAGCAAGCUGCCUUGCAGGAAAUAUACAACUUUGCUCAACUCAAAGAAGAGUGUCUCCCACAAGCUUGGGGGAGGCUCAUCCAGCUACAGAAUGCUUUGCCUGAUCACCCUCUUAAGAAGAACGAGAGACUUGAUAUCUUCUAUAACAGACUUACCGAUGCUUCUAGAGACCACCUAGAUAGUUGUGCCGGUUGUGUUUUUAGGGAACGAAUUGUAGAACAAGUUGAGAUCCUACUGAAUAACAUCUUGAUCAACAAUAAUGCUUGGACUAUUCCCGAACCACCUCCUAAGCCAUAUCCCAAGAAAAGAGGUAUUCUAUUCCUCAGUCCUGAAGAUAUGCAAGAAGCCAAGAAAUCUUUGCAAGAGAAAGGCAUUAGAUCUGAAGAAAUCAAAAAUCUACCGCCUAUCGAAGAGAUCCAUGCUCUCGAUAACCCGAUACAAGUAGUAGAGGUGAAUUCUCUGCGUAGAUUCAAUGAGAGUGAUAUUCCUUUUGAUAAACCUGCUAGCCUAUGCUUUGAUGAAUUUGACAACUUUGUUGCCAAACAACAAAGUUUCAAUGAUUAUGUUAGCAGACAAUUGGAACAACGUACUCACAUGCUUAGUCAUUUAAGUGCUUGUGUAGAGAGAAAUGUCAAUGAUCUGAAGCUUCUGAGUAAACAUGCCUCAAUGAUUACUACUCAGGUAGAACAAGUACUUAAAGCUCAGAAUGACGUGCUCAAUGAAUUAAUGACAACUCUGUCAGAGUCAUUACUAGAGGAGGCAAAAUGACUCAGGAACCCUUGUAUCCUGAAGGCCAUCCUAAGAGAAUUGAUCAACAUUCUCAAGGUAUUAAUGCUCAUACACCCAGUCAUCCUAAGAAUAAGAAGAAGGAUGAUAGAAACCUACAUGUCAGUUCACCAAAUACUGUAACACCUGAAGAACCAAAUGAUAUUUCUGCGUCUGAUGCAGAAACACAAUCUGGUGAUGAACAUGAACCUGGUGACAAUAUGGACAGCGAUGUUCAUAAUAAUGCUCAACCUAGCAAUGAUAAGGAUGUGGAGAUUGAACCUACGGUUAAUCCUGAUAACCCACAACCUAAGAGGUACGAUAAGAAUGACUUCACUGCUAGGAGGCAUGGUAAAGAAAGGGAGCCAUGGGUUCAGAGACCCAUGCCCUUUCCUCCUAAGCCAUCCAAGAAAAAGGAUGAUGAUGAUUUUGAGCGCUUUAUUGAAAUGUUGAGACCCGUCUUUCUGCGUAUGCGGUUAAUUGAUAUGCUCAAAAUGUCUCCAUAUGCCAAGUACAUGAAAUAUAUCGUGACCAAUAAACGGAAGAUACCAGAUCUUGAGAUCUCCACCAUGCUUGCCAAUUACACUUCCAAAGGUGGAACUCCUAAGAAACUUGGUGAUCCCGGAGUGCCCACUAUACCUUGCUCCAUUAAAGGAAACUACGUAAGAACUGCCUUAUGUGACCUUGGAGCCGGUGUUAGUGUUAUGCCUCUCUCUCUCUUUAUCGUAGACUUGAACUGGAUAAGUUGACACCCACUGAAAUUUCUCUGCAAAUGGCCGACAAAUCAACUGCUUUCCCUGUCAGCAUUUGCGAGGAUGUGCCUGUUGUGGUUGCUAACGUUGCUAUCUUAACGGACUUUGUUAUCCUGGAUAUUCCUGAGGAUGAUGCCAUGGCGAUCAUUCUUGGAAGACCAUUCUUAAACACUGCAAGGGCUGUUAUAGAUUGCAGCAAAGGCAAUGUCACCUUCCAUGUCAACGGUAAUGAGCAUACAGUGCACUUUCCAAAGAAACGAUAUCAAGUACAUUGCAUCAAUGCUAUCGAAAAAACAUCAUCGAUUCUUAUUGGGAGCUUUGAAUUCCCUAUUCCUCGUGUUAAGAUGAAGUAUGAUUUGCUUGUUGGGGAGAUUCAUGUCCCCAUUGAGGUGACUUAGUGGCUAUUCGACAAUUCUCUGUUUCCUUUUGCGAUUCGAAAAGGUUUUGUCGAGGGGAUUUGAUCAACCCCAUUGACGGAUUUCUUUCGAUGACCAUGAAAUGGAUGAAUCAAGGAGUCACAUACCUCUGUUUUAAGCUUUCACUUUCUGUUGUUUAGAAGGAAAAAUGAUAGAUUUAGUUUAGUUUUUCCUGUUUUCUGUUUUAGCGUCCCAGAGAAAAGUAUCCCGAAAAUAGAAGUUCUACGAUGGCCCUGAAAAUCAAAUAUGAUUUUUUCUGGUUUUUUUGAAAAAUACUGGGACUGAGAGCUGGCCUGGGAGCCACACCAGUGGGCCACAAGCCCUGUAGCCGCGGCCUCCCCUGGCCGCGGCUACCAAGCUUGUGGGGCCCACAGGGACCCCCUCCACUCAUUCUAGCUCCCAUCCUCUUCUUCUACCUCCAGAAAAAAUCGUUUUACAGCUCCAACCCGUGCUCUUGCUCAUUUGGCUGUGAUUUUCGAUCUCCUUGCUCAAAGCACCAUUCUACGAACCGUUUUGGGGAAAUUACUCCUUGGUAAGUGACUCCUCCAUUGGUCCAAUUAGUUACUCUAGUGCUUUAUCCUUCGCGUAUUCUUUCUACCUUGGUGACCCUGUUCUUGAACUUGAAAUGUUGAUUUUAGUUCGUCCCAAGUAGUUUUAACGCGUGAUACGGUCUCUAGGCACUAGUAGGAGUAGUUGCUACAAGGUUUGGUUGGUCUUUAUUCACUUUUCUCUUGAACUUCAAAAAUUUCAGCAAAAAUAAAUUAUGUUUAGGAGGAAGUUUCAUGGUGGUUCCUCAAGUAAGAAGGGUCCCCGUCUUUCUAUUAAGGAGCCCGAUCCUUAUGAACUAAGGGACGCACCGGUACAACCAUGUGAAUGGCCUUCCGAUGAGUUCAUGAUCGAAGCAGGCUUCAAGGAUGAGUUUGAUACACUUGUCCACAAUGCCGAGUUAGAAGAAUUCCUCUCAGAUAAAUGUGAACAGUAUGCUAUGCUCACUGCCUCUUUCAUGCGUAGAUUUAAAUUUUUAGUUGGCCGUGACUCAUCCAUACUGUUUGAUCUGUAUGAUAAAUCCUACACCAUGGAUUUGGAGGAUUUCAAUAGGAUUUGCAAGAUACCCGAUGGGGGUAGUCUUAAUGAUCCUGCUAAGUCUUCGGUUAGAUAUUUUUUUUCUCUAGUAUAACUGUUGGAGAAACUAGAGACAUCACGCAAGCUACCAUAGGAAGCAUUCAUUUCCCUGCCUUGCACUACUUUGCCCUCUUCAUAGGUAGAUGCAUUAACGGCAAGGUUGAACAUUGUCACCUAUGCGCAUCCGACCUUAGUAUCCUUAAGAGCGCAAUAACAGGUGACAGGAGCUUCAACAUGGGAGCUAUAAUAGCAAGGAGGCUGAAUAAUAAUGCCAUUGAUAUUAGUUUACCGUGAGACCUAUGUGUCACUUGCUUAUGUGGUUAACUUGUGAUCUUGCUGAAAUUCUGGUUAUGAGUUAGACAUAGUUGCAACAUCAAGAUCAAACAGAGUUUGUCAAAGUUUUUCGUUCUCUUUUAGUUUGUCAACUGAGUUGCUUGAGGACAAGCAAGGUUUUAAGCGUGGGGGAGUUGAUACGUCUCCAUCGUAUCUACUUUUCCAAACUCUUUUGCAAUUGUUUUGGACUCUAAUUUGCAUGAUUUGAAUGGAACUAACCCGGACUGACGCUGUUUUCAGCAGAAUUGCCAUGGUGUUGUUUUUGUGCAGAAAUGAAAGUUCUCGGAACGUCUUGAAAAUUUACGGAGAAUAUUUCUGGAAAAUAUGAAAAAUACCUGCGCAAAGAUCCACCGGAGGGGACGGGCUAGUGGGCCACAAGCCCUGUAGCCGCGGCCUCCCCCCUGGUCGCGGCUACCAGGCUUGUGGGGCCCACGUGGCUCUGCCGCCCCCAAUUCCAGCACUAUUUAUUCCCUUUCGUCCCGGAAAAAAUCAGGAGAGAAGAGUUCAUCGCGUUUCACGAUCCAGAGGCGCCGCCACAUCCCGUUCUUGCCCUGGAGGGUAGAUCUGGAGUCCGUUUUGGGCUCCGGAUCAAGGAGAUCGUCGCCAUCGUGAUCAUCAACCUUCUUCCCUCUCCAAUUCCAUGAAGCUCUUCAUUGUUCGUGAGUAAUCUAUUCGUAGGCUCGCUGGGCGGUGAUGAGUAGGAUGAGAUCUAACAUGUAAUCGAGUUAGUUUUGACGGGGAUUGAUCCCUAGUAUCCACUAUGUUCUGAGAUUGAUGUUGCUACUACUUGGCUAUGCUUAAUGCUUGUCACUAGGGCCCGAGUGCCAUGAAUUCAGAUCUGAACCUAUUAUGUUGUCACCAACAUAUAUAUGUGUUUUAGAUCCGAUCUUGCAAGUUGUAGUUACCUACUAUGUGUUAUGAUCCGGCAACCCUGGAGUGACAAUAACCGGAACCACUCCCGGUGAUGACCAUAGUUUGAGGAGUUCAUGUGUUCACCAAGUGCUAAUGCGUUGGUCCGGUUCUUUAUUAGAAGGAGAACCUUAAUAUCCCGUAGUAUCCAUUUGGACCCCGCUGCCACGGGAGGGAUGGGCAAUAGAUGUCAUACAAGUUCCUUUCCCUAAGCACGUAUGACUACACACAGAAUGCAUGCCUACAUCACAUUGACGAACGGGAGCUAGCCACAUAUCUCUCCGUGUUAUAACUGUUGCAUGAUGAAUGUCAUCCAACAAAUCACCGAUCCAUUGCCUACGAGUUUGUCCCACUGCUAUUGUUACUUGCUGCUGCUGUUACUUGCUUUGCUCUGCUGCUGUUACUACUAUUGCUGCUACUGUUACUUGCUUUGUCAUGCUGCUGCUGCCACUACUGUUGCUACUACUGUUACUUGUUGUUGCUGUUACUUGCUACUGUUGCUACUUGCUACUGCUGUCACUACUGCUGUUCCUUGCCACUGUUGUUACUCGUUACACUGCUGCUACCUGCUAGAAUACUUUUCUUGCGUCAUUGAUACUUCAGUUAGGAAUAAUCUGCCGUCAACAGAUUCUUUCCUAGCACUGUUGCUAUCAUACUACCUUUGCUGCUUAUAUCCUGCUUGCAGAUACUAAUCUUUCAGGUGUGGUUGAGCCGACAACUCAACUGCUAAUACUUGAGAAUAUCCUUUCACUCCCAUUGUGUCGAACCAACAAAUUUGGGUUGAAUACUCUACCCUCGAAAACUGCCGCGAUCCCACACGCUGGUGGGCCAUUGCAAGACAAUUGCUAAUUGUUGAGCAUCUGGAAGUAGGUACUAGCCAUGGAAAAGUGAGAAUACAGUAAUCUAACACCAAUAUAAAUAGAAAUCAAGUUUGCUACAGUACCUCAAGAGGUGGUAGUUUGUUUUCUUGUGCUAAUAAUAUCACGAGUUUCUGUUUAAGUUUUGUGUUGUGAAGUUUUCAAGUUUUGAGUGAUGUUCUCAUGGCCAAAGGGAUAAAGAGUGGAAAGAGCUCAAUCUUGGGGAUGCCCAAGGCACCCCAAGACAAAUUCAAGGACACCAAAAAGCCUAAGCUUGGGGAUGCCCCGGGAAGGCAUCCCCUCUUUCGUAUUCAAUCCAUCGGUAACAUUACUUCGAGCUAUAUUUUUAUUCACCACAUGGUAUGUGUUUUGCUUGGAGCGUCUUGUAUCGUAGGAGUCUUUUAUUUUUGUUGUGUCACAAUCAUCCUUGCUGCACACCUUUGGAGAGAGACAUGCACUCAUCCUGAUUUUGCUAGAAUACUCUUUGAGCUUCACUUAUAUCUUUUGAGUUAGGCAAUUUAGCUCACAUGCGCUUCACUUCGAUCUUUUAGAGCACGACAGUGUUAUAUUUUGGAGAAAUAAGGACUCUCGAUCUUCACUUAUAUCUUUUUGAGAGUGAUCUCUCUGAGUAACUUGGUAGUUGGCUUGUGCUAUGAAAGUAGUCCCAAAGGUGAUAGGAAUCCAAAGAGCAUACGAUGAAACUUCCAUCUUCUUGUUCAUUGAUUAGAAAGAGAAGUUUGAUUCCUCUCAAUUAGUUUUGAGAUAUGGAUUUGGUGAUACUAAGAGUUAUGUUAGUAGGGUGUUGUGAAUCUAGAAAUACUUGUGUUGAAGUUAGUGAUUAACGUAACAUGCACGUAUGGUGAACCGCUAUGUUAGGAAGUCAGAGCAUAAUUGAUCUAUUGAUUGUCAUCCUUUGUGUUGCGGUCGGGAUCGCGCGAUGGUUAACACCUACGAACCCUUCCCCUAGGAGUAUGCGUUUAGCACUUUGUUUUGAUUACUAAUAAAAACUUUCGCAAUAAGUAUGGGAGUUCUUCAUGACUAACGUGAGUCCAUGGUAUAGAUGCACUUUCACCUUCCACCAUUGCUAGCCUCUUUAGUGCCGCGCAACUUUCAUCGGUGCACAAACCCACCAUAUGCCUUCCUCAAAACAGCCACCAUAAGUACCUACUAUGGCAUCUUCAUAGCCAUUCCCAGAUAUAUUGCCAUGCAACUCCCACCGUUCCAUCUCAUGACUUGUGCCGUCACUUUCAUAUUGCCAUUGCAUGAUCGUAAGAUAGCUAGUGAGUCAUAUGCCAAGCUAGAUCGUUGCACAUCCCGGUACAUUGCCGGAGGCAUUUCCUAUAAGAGUCAUCAUUGUUCUAAGCAUUGAGCUUUUAGUAAAUUAAAGUGUGAUGAUCAUCAUUAUUAGAGCAGUGUCCCAUGUGAGUAAAUAAAAAAAAGGCCAAAGUGGCCCACAAAAAAAUAUAUAUGGAAAGAGGCCAAAGAGCCCCCAAAAAAGGAAGAGAGAAAAAGAGAGAAUGGACAAUGCUACUAUCUUUUUCCACACUUGUGCUUCAUAAUAGCACCAUGUUCUUCAUGAUUGAGAGUCUCUUGAUUUGUCACCACCAUAUGCUAGUGGGAAUUUUCGUUAUAUAACUUGGCUUAUAUAUUCCAAUGAUGGGAUUCCUCAAAAUUGCCCUAGGUCUUGACGAGCAAGCAAGUUGAAUGCACACCCACUAGUUCUUCUUUUGAGCUUUCACAUACUUAUAGCUCUAAGUGCAUCCAUUGCAUGGUAAUCCCUACUCUUUCACAUUGAUAUCUAUUAAUGGGCAUCUCCAUAGCCCUUUGAUACGCCGAGUCGAUGUGACCAUCUCCUCCUUUUUGUCUCACAACCUCCACCACACUCUAUUCCACCAUAGUGCUAUAUCCAUGGCUCAUGCUCAUGUAUUGCAUGAGAGUUGAAAAAGGUUUGAGAACGUAAGAGUGCGAAAACAAUUACUUCGCCAAUACCGGGGUUGUGCAUGAUUUAAAUUAGUUGUGUGGGGAUGAUGGAGCAUAGCCAGACUAUAUGAUUUUGUAGGGAUAACUUUCUUUGGCCUUGUUAUUUCGAAUGUUUAUGAUUACCUUGCUAGUUUUCUUGAAGUAUUAUUGUUUUCAUGUCAAUAGCAAGCUAUUAUUUGAAUCUUACGGAUCUGAACAUUCAUGUCACAUGAAAUAAGUUACAAAGGACAAAGAUGCUAGGUAGCAUUCCACAUCAAAAAUUCAGUCUUUAUCACUUCCCUACUCGAGGACGAGCUGGAGUUAAGCUUGGGGAUGCUUGAUACGUCUCCAACGUAUCUAUAAUUUUUGAUGGUUACAUGCUAUUAUCUUGUCAAACUUUGGAUGUUUUGUAUGCCUUUUAUAUCUUUUUUGGGACUAACUUAUUAACUCAGUGCCAAGUGCCAGUUCCUAUUUUUUUCGUGUUUUUGACCCUUUUCAGAGGAGAAUAUUAAACGGAAUCCAAAAGGAAUAAAACUUCCGAAAAGGUUUUUUCCGGAACAGAAAAUACGCAGGGGGCGUGAGAACCAAGGUAGAGGCCACCAGGGGAGGCCACAAGGCCCCUAGGCGCGGCCAGGGGGGCCUGACUCUGUGACAACAGACCUUCCCCUGCAACGGCACCAGAAGAAUGCUGCUAGCACUCCCCGGCAAUCGAAACUAGAAGAAUAUUGUUGACGGCCCACCAGCGCGUGGGAUCGAGGCAGUUUUCGAGGGUAGAGUAUUCGAACAAAAUUUGUUGAUACGCCAGUAGGAGGUGAGACGAUACUCUCAAGUAUUAGCAGUUGAAUGUGUCAGAUUCAACCAGACGUGAAAGAUUAGUAUCUGCAAGCAAAGUAUCAUCAGCAAAGUAGUAUGAUAACAACGGUGUCAGAAACGAUCUGUUGACGGCAGACUAUUCCUAACGAUUGUAUCAAUGGUGCCAGAAGUUGCCCGUUGACGGAAAUUGUCUGUUCCCGUCAACGCCGAGCGAACAAAAAUUGUAACAGGUAGCAGCAGUGAAACGAGUAACAGCAGUGGCAAGGAACAGCAGUAGUGACAGCAGUAGCAAGUAGCAACAGUAGCAAGUAGCAGCAGAGCAAGCGACAGUAGUAACAGCAGCAGUGGGACAAACUUGUAGGCAAUGGGUCCGUGAUUCGUUCGGAUGAUAUUCAUCAUGCAACAGUUAUAAGACGGAGAGAUAUGUGGCUAGCUCCCGUUCGUCAAUGUGAUGUAGGCAUGCAUUCCGUGUGUAGUCAUACGUGCUUAGGGAAAAGAACUUGCAUGACAUCUAUUGUCCAUCCCUCCCGUGGCAGCGGGGUCCAAAAGGAUACUACAGGAUGUUAAGGUUCUCCUUUUAAUAAAGAACCGGAACAACGCAUUAGCACUUGGUGAACACAUGAACUCCUCAAAGUAUGGUUAUCAUCAGGAGUGGUUCCGGUUANGCCGCAAGCUUCUGUCUCCGCAAGAUCCCAUCUGGGGCACAUUCUGGUGCCCUGUCGGAGGGGGGAUUCGGAUACGGAGGGCUUCUUCAUCAACACCAUUGACUCUCCGAUGAUGCGUGAGUAGUUCACCAUAAACCUUCGGGUCCAUAGCUAGUAGCUAGAUGGCUUCUUCUCUCUCUUGGAUCUUCAAUACAAAGUUCUCCAUGAUCUUCAUGGAGAUCUAUCCGAUGUAAUCUUCUUUUGCGGUGUGUUUUUCGAGAUCCGAUGAAUUGUGGAUUUAUGAUCAGAUUAUCUAUGAAUCUUAUUUGAGUUUCUUCUGAUCUCUUAUAUGCAUGAUUUCAUAUCCUUGUAAUUCUGUUCGAGUUGUGGGUUUUGUUUGGCGAACUUGAUCUAUGAUUGUUGCAAUGGGAUAAGUGCUUUGUUUUGGGUUCAUACCGUGCGGUGACCUCACCCAGUGACAAAAGGGGUAGCGAGGCACACAUCAUGUUGUUGGCAUCAAGGGUAAAAAGAUGGGGUUUAUACCUAUUGCAUGAACUUAUCCCUCUACAUCAUGUCAUCUUGCUUAAAGCGUUACUCUGUUUGUCAUGAACUCAAUACACUAGAUGCAUGCUGGAUAGCGGUCGAUGUGUGGAGUAAUAGUAGUAGAUGCAGAAAGAAUCGGUCUUCUUGUCUCGGACGUGAUGCCUAUAUGUAUGAUCAUUGCCUUAGAUAUAAUUUGCCCUUCCGACCCGCUGCAUGCCACCCUUGUCGAGCUGACUACUCCCAUCGCCCCAACGGCUAAUACAACGCUGACUAGGGCUGAGGUGGAAGAGGCUCGCAAACAACUACUAGUGGAGGGCACCGCCCUUGCCACCUCCAAGCGCUGGAUGAAGGCGGCACGGCGUGAGUACAACUCCGCUUAUGGCUUCACCCCAGCCGCUGACGGACCCAGCCGGCUCGGCGACCUCCGCUGUCGCGGUCGGGUUGUUGCCGAAAUCCUAGGCGGCCAGCUACCCAUCUAUGACACUCCUGCGGCAAACAUGCGGGCCGCCCAGGCGGCCCAUGAAGAGAUGGAUGCCCUGCAGGGCGAGGAGCGGGUGCGUUAAGAAAAGUGCGUCAAGGACCUCCUCACUGCCGCCAAGGAGCAACAGGAUCGCCUCGAUCCUGCCCGUGCUUUCUCCGUAUCUCCGGCCUUCGACAUCGAAGGUUAUGAUGUCCCCAACGACCGUCAGCAAGCUCAGCAUUCUUCCUCCCAUCGUAAAUCCGACCAGAAGGCCGAGGGAAGCCGUGAGUAGCAUUCCCAACGCCGGAGAGAGCAUCACGCAGUAUCUAGCCGGCUCGGCGAGCCGGCUGGAACUAGAGGAGGCUCAGUUCAUGAAGUUCCCCCGCCUGAGCGGUGGGAGAAGGCCAGCACACCCGUGCCCGCAAUCCGGCCUGAGCUCGCGGCUUGGAUCGGCCCUCGCGUCCUUCGCAGCAAGAGCGAUGCUCGCACACGCAUCGACCUUCUGGCGCAGUCGGCCCUCCUGGAGGAGGAGGGUCCCAUUGGUCCGACGUGCUUCGGUCCUCGGAUCCGAGGGGAGGCGUUCCCGUCCGGCUUCACCGUCCCCCGCGAUACUACGAAAUACAACGGCUCUGGCAAGCCGAAAGACUGGCUGAUCGACUACAUCACUGCAGUCGGCAUUUCUCGGGGCAACAAGCGUGUUGCCGUCUGCUACGUGACACUCAUGCUGACCGGCUCGACAAGAACUUGGCUUAACAGUCUGCCAGCUGGCAACAUCAACUCUUGGGUUGACUUUGAAGAUGCUUUCGUCCGCAACUUCACUCGCACCUACAAGCGCCCUGGCCACGCCCGUGAGCUGGCCAUGUGCGUUCAGAAGCCCGACAAACCCCUCUGUGACUACAUCAUGCACUCGACGGAGUUGCACAACUCCUGCGAAGGAGUGCAUGAAGUACAAGCCAUUCAAUACUUCACUAAAGACUGUCGAGACGACACCCUUCUCAAGCACAAACUCAUGUGCUGCGAACCUACCUCUUUGGCAGCACUCAUGGACAAGGCGGAUAAAUACACUACUGCCAACUCUGCCAUGAGGAUCAAGGUCAGCGCGACGGACAAACCCGACCAACCGCCGGCUACAACUAAGCCGGUGGCGACAACUGAGGCGGGCAAAACAACAAGCGCAAGGCGGAUCAGCAAGACCCGUGAGCUUGAAGCAAGCAGGUGGCAAACAUGGAGGAAGAGCAGCCGGCUGCGCAAGACGACGCUCAGCAACAACGAACCGGCAAGAACACCUGACAGCCCAAGCUCACAUUCGAGUAGAUGCUCGACGCGCCUUGCAAGAUGCAUUCCGGGGCAAAGCCAGCCACCCACACACUCCGGUAGUGCAGCUUCUCACAGCGCCUGGCCCGCUGGCGGCUCCCCCGGGGGUGGCUCCUCGAGGUCCGACUCCCGGGCCGGGUCCGGCUCCAGCUCAACCGCCCCCAAUGACGGCCGUCUUCAUGACCAAUUCCCCAAGAAGGACGGGCCUACAUCGUCUUUACCAGCGAGGGCGAUGACAAGCAUAGUGAGCGUCAGCGCCGACAUGAGGUGAAUGCAACGGUCCUCUCGGUUCCCCAAUACACGCAUUGGUCUAAAAAGCAAAUUACAUGGAGCCAGGCGGACCAUCCCGCGGUGAUGCCGAAUCCUGGCACAUACGCGCUCGUCCUCGUCCCCACCAUCGCCUCCAAGAGACUCACAUGUACGUUCUCGCAGGUGCUCGUCGACGGCGGUAGCAUCAUGAACAUCCUCUACCGUGACACCAUGCUCGAGCUCGGGCUGAAGGAGAAGGACCUACAACCGACCAGGACUGUCUUCCACGACAUUGUGUCGGGGCAGUCUUGCUCGCCUAUCGGCAAAAUCCAGGUGGACUUCCUCUUUCGCGACAAGUCGCACUUCCACCGCGAGCCGGUCUGGUUCAAGGAGGUGGACCUCAACAACCCGUACCAUGCGCUGCUAGGAAGGCCGGCGCUGGCCAAGUUCAUGGCUAUCCCCCAUUACACCUACCUCAAGAUGAAGAUGUCGGGUCCCAAGGGCAUUAUCACUGUUGCCGGCAACUCCAAGAAGUCAAUCGAGUGUGGGUGCAACAGCAGCCGGCUGGCCGAGGCACUGGUGAUUGCACAGGAGAAGAGGCAGCUCAACCGGCUCAUGGCUGAGGCUACCGAGCAGCCGCCCGUGCCAACUCCUCCGUCCCAAUCAGACGGCGAGGCCUCAUUCGAGCCGUCCAAGGGAACCGGGCAAGUGCCACUCGACCCAGCCAACCCCAAGUAGUGCGUGACCAUCGGCGCCAACCUUAGCCCCAAAUAGGAAGGUGAGCUCGUCGACUUCCUCAGUGAGAAUCGAGAUAUCUUUGCAUGGUCCCCCAAGGACAUGUCGGGAGUUCCAAGGAACUACGCCGAGCACAAGCUUCAUGUGCAACCUAAUGCAAAGCCGGUCAAACAACCUUUGUGCCGCUUUGCUGAGGGGAAGCGACACACAAUCGGAGAAGAGAUCGCUUGGCUACUUGCAACCGGCUUCAUCAUGGAAGUUUCCCACCCGGACUGACUGGCCAACCCAGUCCUGGUGCAGAAGAAAAACAAAACAUGGUGCAUGUGUAUCGACUACACAAGCCUGAAUAUGGCAUGUCUGAAGGAUCCCGUCGCCCUGCCACGGAUAGAUCAAGUGACUGACUCCACGGUCGGCUACGAUUUGUUGUCCUUUGUGGACGCUUAUUCCGGCUACCACCAGAUCAAGCUGGACCCGGCCGACCGGCUCAAGACCUCCUUCAUCACACCUUCUGGAGCCUACUGCUACACGAUGAUGACAUUUGGCCUAAAGACUAUAGGCGCCACCUUCCAGCGUUGCAUGCAAUAAUGCCUCCUGCCGCAAAUCGGCAGGAACAUACACGUCUGCAUCGACGAAAUCGUCGUCAAGACCAAGAAGUAUUUCAGUCUCCUUGACGAUUUGUCGGAGACCUUUGCCAACUUGCACGAGUACAAGAUCCAUGUCAAUCCAGAGAAGUGCGUAUUCGGAGUACCAACCGACAAGCUCCUGGGUUUCUUCGUGUCGGCUCGCGGCAUCGAAGCUAACCCCGAGAAGACCAGAACAAUCGAGUGCAUGGCCAAGCCGGCUCAACUCCUCGACGUCUAGAAGUUUGCCGGCUGCCUAGCAUCCCUCAGCCGGUUUGUUAGACGGCUGGGUGAGAAGGCACUACCACUCUAUCAGCUGAUGAAGAAGACAACCAAAUUCGAGUGGAAUGAUCAAGCGGACGAAGCAUUCCGCGACCUCAAGUGCGUGAUCUCCAGCACGCAAAUCUUGGCCACGCCGGCGGAGAGGGAACCCAUCCUCAUCUAAAAUGCGACAACCAUGCGCGUGGUCAGUGUCGUCUUGGUGGUGGAGCGAAAGGAGGAGGGCAAUGUGCUGCUGGUCAGCGCCCUGUCUACCAUCUAAGCGAAGUCUUGUCCGCCUCCAAGCAAAACUACCCCAUUUUCAAAAGAUGUGCUAUGGCGUGUAUUUUGCCACCAAGAAGCUGAAGCAAUACUUCCAGGAGCAUGCCAUCACGGUGGUGAGCACAACUCCACUUUCAGAAAUCAUGGGCAACUGUGAUGCUAUGGGCCAGAUUGCCAAGUGGUCCAUCUCCAUGGCCGACCAUGACAUCCGCUAUGAGCUGUGCACCGCCAUCAAGUCUCAAGUGGUGGCCGACUUCCUCGUCGAUUGGGCCGAGACCCAGUUCCUACCACCGCCUCCUGACUCCACACAUUGGCGGAUACAUUUCGACGACUCCAAGAUGCGAACCGGCCUGGGAGCCGGCAUUGUCCUGACGUCCCCGAAAGGGGCCAACUCAAAUAUGCUCUGUAGAUACACUUCGCCUCCUCCAACAACGUCACCGAGUACGAGGCACUUGCACACGCCCUCUGACUUGCUAGAGAGAUCGUCAUCCAGCGGAUUCUUUGCUUCAGCGACUCUGACCUCGUGGUGCAGCAAGUCUUUCGCGAGUGGGAUGCCAGGGACGCCAACAUGGCCAGCUACCGCUUCCCCAUCCAGCAGCUUAGUGGCCCUUUCGAGGGCUGCGAGUUCCAUCAUGUCCCCCGAGCAGACAAUGAGGCAGCAGAUACAUUGGCACAAAUGGGCUCCACAAGGCAAGCAAUCCCGACCGGCGUCUCCCUCGAACAGCUGCACAAGCCUUCCAUCAAGCCGUCUCGAGCGUCGUCAUCGAUCUUCGUGCCUGCAGACCCGUCCGUCCCAAUGACUUUAGGUACGAAGACGCUUCAUCAACUCCGCCGGCUCGGCCCGUUCUGCCAGCUCCGUCAGCUUUGCUGGCUCCGGUUACCUUGCCGACACCAACUACUCUGCCGGCUAUGCCAAACCUCGAACCCAGUCGGCUCAACACCCAGUGGGUGGCCGUCAUGGAGGUUGAUGGCAUGCCGGCUUCCACGACGACACCAGAGACAGAAGGUCUCGAACCCAGGACCACAAUGACAAACUCGGGGGCCUCAGCGGCCCCUGGCCUUCAGGCCGAGCCAGAAUCGGCUCGUGUGUCAGCUCCCACAUGGGCACACCCCAUCCUGUCUUUCCUCCUUUGCGGUGAGCUCCCUUAAGACAAGGUGGAAGCACGGCAAAUCCAGUGCCGAUCUCUCACUUACGCCAUCAUCAACCGUGAACUGGUUCGACACAGUGUAACAGGCGUACUUCAACGCUGCGUCGAAUCAGAGAAAUGAAAAUAAAUUCUCAAGGACAUACAUCAGGGUGAGUGCGGGCAUCACGCCGCCUCCAGAACCCUGGUGGCCAAGGCGUUCCGCCAUGGAUUCUAUUGGCUCACGACCCUGGAAGAGGCCACCACUCUGGUCGACAAGUGUGAAGGAUGCCAGUGCUUCAACACGCAAAGCCACUUGCCGGCCUCAGCUCUAAAGACCAUUCCCCUCUCAUGUCCCUUUGUCGUCUGGCGUUGGACAUGGUAGGCCCAUUCAAGACCGCUCGAGGCCGCAUGCCGCAUCUCCUGGUAGCCGUUGACAAGUUCACCAAGUGGAUUGAGGCCAGGCCAAUAAAGAAGCUUGACGGUCCCACGACCGUCAGGUUCAUCAAGGACAUCACCGUCCGCUAAGGUGUCCCCCACAGCAUCAUCACCGAUAAUGGCACCAACCUCGCCAAAGGUGCAAUGGCGCUCUUCUAUGCCAAGGAGGGCAUUCGGUUCGACCUUUCGUCGGUUGCCCACCCGCAGUCUAACGGCCAUGGGAAGGGCAAACAACCUGAUCUUGGCCGGCAUCAAGCCAAGACUCGUGGCACCGAUCGUCAGGUCAGCCGUCUGCUGGAUCAAAGAGUUGACGGCUGUGCUGUGGAGCCUCCACACCACACCGAACCGGUCAACUGAUUUCACGCCAUUCUUCCUCGUCUACGGGUCCGAGGCAAUCAUCCCCGCGGAUGUCGAGUUCGACUUGCCUCGCGUCACCCUGUACACGGAGGCAGAUGCAAAAGAGGAAAGAGAAGACGGUGUCAAUCUACUCGAGGAGGCACGGGAGCUGGCCCUGAGCUGGACGGCCAUCUACCAGCAGAAGAUGAGACACUACCACAUCAAAAAGAUCAGGCCUCUCUCUUCCCAUGAGGCGGACCUAGUACUUAGAAGAAUCUAGCAAACAGCCGGCCAACACAAGCUCUCUUCCCCAUGGGAGGGACCCUUGAUCAUCAGCAAGGUGCUGCACAACAAUGCGUACUAUCUAAUAGAUGCUCAGAAGCCGCAGAAGCGCAAAAGAGACGCCUCCGGCGAGGAAACGGAGCAUCCAUAGAACGCGGCACUGCUUCGCCCGUUCUAUUGCUAGAACAAGAGAGAAAAUGUGUACGUAUGUAUCCUUUACCCUUUUGGGGUCUCAACGAAUGCAAUGGGUGUCUCAAGAUAGCACUUGGGGCAUACCUAUUUGAUUUCAUAAAAAGAGUUGUCAUUAGAAGAGUGGGCUUCCCGAUCUGACUCCUCGGGCUCGGGGGCUCGCUAGCCGGCCCAAGCCAACUUCCUAGUCGUAGUUGAACAUAUAGUGCAUGUCGAGCCGAAACCCUUACCACCUUGUGCAAGCUAGAGACCGGCUCCGGACUGUCCGGCUAACAUGAUUGUGGAAUGGAAGGCUGGUUGCACGUAAAAUUUGACUACAAAGAGGUUGUCGGCUCAGGUUGGUCUGAUCGCUUCCGAUCUUCAUUUCUAGCUAGCCUGUGCUAACUCGCUCCAAGUCUAAGUAUCUCCGCGACUUCAAGAAAUUCGAGGAUGGCGCCUUCGUAGGCAGAAGCCCCAUCCUAGUCACAAACCGGCUCCCUGCUGUCGGAUUGGCGGGGUGGAUGCUGGAGGAGGCAAGCUGUUGGAUAGACGGAAGCCAAAGGGGAACGUAAGAUAAAAAAGCGAGUCGGCAAGCACAACCUUCGCAGGCACAAUUCAAGCAAACAAGCAUAUAUUAUAUCAAAAGACAUGUAAAGGCCGACGACCAAAGUUCAUUACAUUACACCCCAAGUGCGUGGAACUGUUGGAUUAACAAAAAAUGCAGAAAAGUAGAAAAAACUUUAUUUGGUGGUGGCUCCACCCUUGGCUCCGACAUCGCCGGCAGCACCGGAGGUCGAGGAGGCUCCACCCAUGGCUCCGACAUUGUUAGCAGCACCUGAGGUCGACGCGGCUCCACCCUUGGCAUUGGCAUCACCAGCGGCACCUGACGUGGAGGCGCCGUCGUCUGCUCGGGUGCCUUUGGCACUGCCCUUUGUGGCGGAGUCAACAUAGGCCUCGCCGCUCAAGUCGGCAUCCUCGAAUGCCGUCUCAUCGGAGCUGCCAUCAGGGUCGGCAAGCUAGCCCAUAAUGACCCUCCGGGAUCAGGCUUCUGUCAGCACUCCGCUCCAGGGAAUACUCAUUCCAUGGGCAAAGGAGGCAAUGCCGCUCGGCCGCACCUGCAGCUCGUCUUCGACGGCGGCUGACACGUGUCCAACGUAUCUAUAAUUUUUGAUGGUUACAUGCUAUUAUCUUGUCAAACUUUGGAUGUUUUGCAUGCCUUUUAUAACUUUUGGGACUAACUUAUUAAUUCAGUGCCAAGUGCCAGUUCCUGUUUUUUCCGUGUUUUUGACCCUUUUCAGAGAAGGAUUUUAAACGGUGUCCAAACGGAAUAAAAUUUUCGAAAAGAUUUUUUCCGGAACAGAAGAUACGCACGGGAUGUGAGAACCAAGGCAGAAGCCACCACGGGAUGCCACAAGCCCCCUAGGCGCGGCCGGGGGGGCCUAGCAGGCUUGUGGGCCCCCUGUGACUCGUCUGCACUACCUCUUCUGCCUAUAAAUUCCUGAAAAAUCCAAAACUGCGGGAGAGAUCCACGAAAAUACUUUUCCGCUGCCGCAAGCUUCUGUCUCCGCAAGAUCCCAUCUGGGGCACGUUCUGGUGCCCUGCCGGAGGGGGGAUUGGAUACGGAGGGCUUCUUCAUCAACACCAUGACCUCUCCGAUGAUGCAUGGGUAGUUUACCAUAGACCUUCGGGUCCAUAGCUAGUAGCUAGAUGCCUUCUUCUCUCUCUUGGAUCUUCAAUACAAAGUUCUCCAUGAUCUUCAUGGAUAUCUAUCCGAUGUAAUCUUCUUUUGCGGUGUAUUUGUCGAGAUCCGAUGAAUUGUGGAUUUAUGAUCAGAUUAUCUAUGAAUCUUAUUUAAAUUUCUUCUGAUCUUUUAUAUGCAUGAUUUCAUAUCCUUGUAAUUCUCUUCGAGUUGUGGGUUUUCUUUGGCCAACUUGAUCUAUGAUUCUUGCAAUGGGAGAAGUGCUUGGUUUUGGGUUCAUACCGUGCGGUGACCUCACCCAGUGACAGAAGGGGUAGUGAGGCACGCAUCAUGUUGUUGCCAUCAAGGGUAAAAAGAUGGGGUUUACAUCAUUGGUUUGAGUUUAUCCCUCUACAUCAUGUCAUCUUGCUUAAGGCGUUACUCUGUUCGUCAUGAACUCAAUACACUAGAUGCAUGCUUGAUAGCAGGGGAUGUGUGGAGUAAUAGUAGUAGAUGCAGACAGUAUCGGUCUACUUGUCUUGGACGUGAUGCCUAUAUGUAUAAUCAUUGCCUUAGAUAUCGUCAUGACUUUGCGCGGUUCUAUCAAUUGCUCGACAGUAAUUUGUUCACCCACCGUAAUAUUUGCUACUUUGGGAGAAGCCUCUAGUGAACACUAUGGCCCCCGGGUCUACUUCACAUCAUAUUUUCAGCCUUUAACUUUUACUUCGUUGUACUUUCCACCUUCAGAUCUCACUUUGCAAUCAAUCUUGAAGGGAUUGACAACCCCUUUAUAGCGUUGGGUGCAAGCUCGUUUGUAUUUGCGCAGGUACUCUGUACACUUGGAUUGAUUCUCCUACUGGAUUGAUACCUUGGUUCUCAAACUGAGGGAAAUACUUACUUCUCCUGUGCUGCAUCACCCUUUCCUCUUCAAGGGAAAACCAACGCAAGCUCAAGAGGCAACAGAAGGAUUUCUGGCGCCGUUGCCGGGGACUUCUGGCCCCGUAGCAGAAGGAUUUCUCGCGCCGUUGCCGGGGAGGAUCAAGUUCUAGGUGAAGCUUAUCCAAGUAAGUGUCGAAAACUCAUCUCUUGCAUUUACUUUUUUGCCUUUCGUUUUCCUCUCCCCCAGUUUUGAAAAACAAAAAAUUACAAAAAUAUUUGCCUUCUUCGUUUGCCUUUUUCGUUCGCCCUUUUAUCUCGCUUGCUUUCUGUUCGCUUGUGUGCUUGUUUGCUUGUCGAAGUCACCAUGACUAAAAACACCAAACUCUAUGACUUCUCGAAUACUAAUAAUAAUGAUUUUAUUAGUACUCCGAUUGCUCCCGCCACUAGUGCGGAAUCAUACGAAAUCAAUGUUGCCUUGCUGAAUCUUGUUAUGAAAGAGCAAUUCUCCGACCUUCCUAGUGAAGAUGCCGCAUCCCAUCUUAAUAUCUUCAUUGAGCUUUGCGAUAUGCAGAAUAAGAAAGAUGUGGAUAAUGAUGUGAUUAAAUUGAAGCUUUUUCCUUUCUCGUUGCGAGAUCGAGCAAAAACUUGGUUUUCAUCUUUGCCCAAAAAUAGUAUUGAUUCUUGGAACAAGUGCAAAGAUGAUUAUAUAUCCAAGUAUUUUCCGUCGGCUAAGAUUAUCUCUCUCCGUAAUGAUAUCUUGAAUUUUAAGCAACUUGAUCAUGAACAUGUUCCACAAUCUUGGGAGAGAAUGAAAUUGAUGAUUAGAAAAUGUCCCGCUCAUGGCUUGAGUCUUUGGAUGAUUAUACAAAUCUUCUACGCUGGUUUGAAUUUCGCUUCUAGAAAUAUCUUGGACUCCGCCUCAGGUGGAACAUUCAAGGAAAUCACAUUAGGAGAAGCCACGAAACUCCUAGACAAUAUCAUGAUAAACUACUCUCAGUGGCACACUGAAAGGUCACCUACUAGUAAAAAAGUACACGCUAUAGAAGAAAUUAACUCGUUGAGUGCUAAGAUGGAUGAUUUAAUGAAUUUUGUUGCUAGUAGAAGUGCUCCUUUAGAUCCUAAUGAUAUGCCCUUGUAUUCCUUGAUUGAGAGUAGCAAUGCGAGCUUGGACGUUAAUUUUGUUGGUAGGAAUAAUUUUGGCAACAACAAUGCUUUUAGAGGAAACUAUGUUCCUACGCCUUUUCCUAGGAACCCCUCUAAUAACUUUGGCAACUCCUACAACAAUACUCAUGGAAAUUACGAUAAAUUACCCUCUGAUCUAGAUAGUAAUAUCAAAAAGUUUAUCAACUCGCAAAAGAUUUUCAAUGCGUCCAUAGAGGAAAAACUACUCAAAAUUGACGAUUUGGCUAGGAGCGUUGAUAGAAUGUCUAGUGAUACUGAUGCUUUGAAAGUUAGAUGUGCUCCUCCCAAGAUCAACAUGGAUGAAACUUUGAAACCCAUGCGUGUUUCCAUGAGUGAGAGCAAAGAAAGAACCGCCCAAAUUCGUGCUAGACAUGAAUGGCUUAAAAAGGCGUGUUCUCGUGAUAAGAAUCACGAAGAUCUUAAAGUGCUUGGUGUGACUCCCAUUGAAUCUUUGUUCUCUCGUGUCAAACCUAAUGAUGAUGGGGCUGGAUAUGAAUCUACUUUGGUUGAAAAACGCCUCAAUGAUUCGGAGUCCAUCUAUCUUGAUGCUAAAAGCAUUGAAAGUGGAGUAGAAGAAAUCAAAACUUUGAGUAGUAAUGAAAGUACUACUUUGGAUUUCAAGGAAUUCAAUUAUGAUAGUUUCUCCUUGAUUGAAUGCAUUUCCUUGAUGCAAUCCAUGCUAAACUCUCCACACGCUUAUAGCCAAAACAAGGCCUUUACCGAUCAUAUCGUUGAAGCUAUGAUAAAAUCUCUUGAAGAGAAACUUGAGUUGGAAGUUUCUAUUCCUAGAAAGCUUCAUGAUGAGUGGGAACCUACUAUCAAAAUCAAAAUCAAAAACUAUGAAUGCAAUGCUUUGUGUGAUUUGGGUGCUAGUGUUUCCGCGAUUCCAAAGUCUUUAUGUUAUGUUCUAGGCUUUAAUGAGAUUGAGGAGUGUUCUCUUAAUUUGCAUCUUACGGAUUCUACUGUCAAGAAACCCAUGGGAAGGAUCAAUGAUGUUCUUAUUAUUGCAAAUAGGAACUAUGUACCCAUGCAUUUCAUUGUGCUUGAUAUUGAUUGCAAUCCUACAUGUCCUAUCAUUCUUGGUAGACCUUUCCUAAGGACUAUUGGUGCUAUCAUCGAUAUGAAGGAAGGGAAUAUUUGAUUUCAAUUUCCUUUAAAUAAGGGCAUGGAGCAUUUUCCUAGAAAGAAAAUAAGAUUGCCUUAUUAAUCAAUGAUGAGGGCUACUUAUGGUUUGAGCACCAAAGACGACGAUACGUGAUUCUAUCGCCUUAUGCCUAGCUAAGGGCGUUAAAAAAUAGCGCUUGUUGGGAGGCAACCAAAUGAAUUUAUUUUUUUCUUUCUGUUUUAUUGCGUCCACACUAUCAUAAUUCUGUUAUGAUAGUUUUUUGUGUUUCUUUUUGUGUUUGAGCCAAGCAAAACCUUUAUGAUUGGUUUGGUGAUGGUUGUUUGAUCCUGCUGGAAAAAGACAGAAACUUUUCGCUCACGAAAUUAUUUUUCGUUUUUAUUCCGAAAGAGAUUUUGAUUUGAUUCCUUUUGCUGCUGGUUUAUAUGCCUUUUUCCCAGGCUGUCGUAAUGUUUCAUAAUUUUUGAGGCACCAGAAGUAUACGAAGUAUAAAGAUUUCUACAGACUGGUCUGUUUUUGACAGAUUUUGUUUUUGUUGUGUUGGUUGCUUGUUUUGAUGAAACUAUGGAUAGUAUCGGGGGUACUAGCCAUGGAAAAGUGAGAAUACAGUAAUCUAACACCAAUAUAAAUAGAAAUCAAGAUUGCUACAGUACCUAAAGUGGUGGUAGUUUGUUUUCUUGUGCUAAUGAUAUCACGAGUUUCUGUUUAAGUUUUGUGUUGUGAAGUUCUCAAGUUUUGGGUGAUGUUCUCAUGGACAAAGGGAUAAAGAGUGGAAAGAGAUCAAGCUUGGGGAUGCCCAAGGCAUCCCAAUCUAAAUUCAAGGACACCAAAAAUCCUAAGCUUGGGUAUGCCCCGGGAAGACAUCCCCUCUUUCGUCUUCAAUCCAUCGGUAACAUUACUUGGAGCUAUAUUUUUAUUCAGCACAUGAUAUGUGUUUUGUUUGGAGCGUCUUGUAUCGUAGGAGUCUUUUCUUUUUGUUGUGUCACAAUCAUCCUUGCUGCACACCUUUUGAGAGAGACAUGCACUCAUCGUGAAUUUGCUAGAAUACUCAUUGUGCUUCACUUAUAUCUUUUGAGCUAGACAAUGUUGCUGUGUGCUUCACUUAGAUCUUUUAGAGCACCGCUGUGCGUAACUUGGUAGUUGGCUUGUGCUAUGAAUGUAGUCCCAAAGGUGAUAGGUAGCCAAAGAGGAGACAAUAACACUUCCAUCUUCAUGUGUGUUGAGUAGAAAGAGAAGUUUGAUUCCUCUCAAUUAGUUUUGAGACGUGGAUUUGGUAAUAUUAAGAGUUAUGUUAGUAGGGUGUUGUGAAUCUAGAAAUACUUGUGUUAAAGUUAGUGAUUCCCGUAACAUGCACAUAUGGUGAACCACUAUGUUAGGAAGUCGGAGCAUAAUUGAUCUAUUGAUUUCCAUUCUUUGUGUUGCCGUCGGGAUCGCGCGAUGGUUAACACCUACUAACCCUUCCUCUAGGAGUAUGCGUUUAGCACUUUGUUUCGAUUACUAAUAAAAACUUUUGCAACAAGUAUGUGAGUUCUUCAUGACUAAUGUGAGUCCAUGGUAUAGAUGCACUUUCACCUUCCACCAUUGCUAGCCUCUCUAGUACCGCGCAGUUUUCGCUGGUGCACAAACCCACCAUAUGCCUUCCUCAAAACAGCCACCAUACCUACCUACUAUGGCAUUUUCAUUGCCAUUCCGAGAUAUAUUGCCAUGCAACUCCCACCGUUCCGUCUCAUGACUUGUGCCGUCACUCUCAUAUUGCCAUUGCAUGAUCAUAAGACAGCUAGCGAGAUGUUUCAACGUCAUACGCCAAGCUAGAUCGUUGAACAUCCCGGUACACUGCCGGAGGCAUUUCCUAUAGAGUCAUCAUCGUUCUAAGCUUUGAGCUGUGAGUAAAUAAAAGUGUGAUGAUCAUCAUUAUUAGAGCAUUGUCCCAUGUGAGGAAAUAAAAAAAUAGAGGCCAAAGUUGCCCACAAAAAAAGAGAUAUGGAAAGAGGCCGAAGAACCCAAACAAAAAAAAGAAAAAGAAAAAAAGAGAGAAAAUUAGAGAAGGGACAAUGCUACUAUCUUUUUCCACACUUGUGCUUCAUAAUAGCACCAUGUUCUUCAUGAUUGAGAGCCUCCUCGUUUUGUCACCACCAUAUACUAGUGGGAAUCUUUAUUAUAUAACUUGGCUUGUAUAUUCCAAUGAUGGGCUUCCUCAAAAUUGCCCUAGGUCUUCGUGAGCAAGCAAGUUGGAUGCACACCCACUAGUUCUCCUUUUGAGCUUUAACAUACUUAUAGCUCUAAGUGCAUCCAUUGCAUGGUAAUCCCUACUCUUUCACAUUGAUAUCUAUUAAUGGGCAUCUCCAUAGCCCUUUGAUACGCCGAGUCGAUGUGACCAUCUCCUCCUUUUUGUCUCACAACCUCCACCACACUCUAUUCCACCAUAGUGCUAUAUCCAUGGCUCAUGCUCAUGUAUUGCAUGAGAGUUGAAAAAGGUUUGAGAACGUAAGAGUGCGAAAACAAUUACUUCGCCAAUACCGGGGUUGUGCAUGAUUUAAAUUAGUUGUGUGGGGAUGAUGGAGCAUAGCCAGACUAUAUGAUUUUGUAGGGAUAACUUUCUUUGGCCUUGUUAUUUCGAAAGUUCAUGAUUACCUUGCUAGUUUACUUGAAGUAUUAUUGUUUUCAUGUCAAUAGCAAAUUAUUGUUUUUAAUCUUAUGUAUAGGAACAUUCAUGUCACAUGAAAGAAGUUACAAAGGACAACUAUGCUAGGUAGCAUUCCACAUCAAAAAUUAAGUCUCUAUCACUUCCCUACUCGAGGACGAGCGGGAGUUAAGCUUGGGAUGCUUGAUACGUCUGUAACGUAUCUAUACUUUUUGAUGGUUCCAUGCUAUUAUCUUGUCAAUCUUUGGAUGUUUUGUAUGCCUUUUAUAUCUUUUUUGGGACUAACUUAUUAACUCAGUGCCAAGUGCCAGUUUCUGUUUUUUUCGUGUUUUUGACCCUUUUCAGAGGAGAAUUUUAAACGGUGUCCAAACGGAAUAAAACUUCUGAUUUUUUUUCCGGAACAGAAGAUACGCACGGGACGUGAGAACCAAGGCAGAAGCCACCAGGGGACGCCACAAGCCCCCUAGGCGCGGCCAGGGGGGCCCGCGCCUAGCAGGCUUGUGGGCCCCGUGUGGCUCGUCCGCCCUACCUCUUCCGCCUAUAAAUUCCUGAAAAAUCCAAAACCGCGGGAGAGAUCCUUGAAAAUACUUUUCCGCCGCCACAAACUUCUGUCUCCGCAAGAUCCCAUCUAGGGAACGUUCUGGUGCCCUGCCGGAGGGGGGAUUCGGAUACGGAGGGCUUCUUAAUCAACACCAUGACCUCUCCGAUGAUGCAUGAGUAGUUUACCAUAGACCUUCGGGUCCAUAGCUAGUAGCUAGAUGGCUUAUUCUCUCUCUUGGAUCUUCAAUACAAAGUUCUCCAUGAUCUUCAUGGAGAUCUAUCCGAUGUAAUCUUAUUUUGUUGUGUGUUUGUCGAGAUCCGAUGAAUUGUGGAUUUAUGAUCAGUUUAUCUAUGAAUCUUAUUUGAGUUUCUUCUCAUCUCUUAUAUGCAUGAUUUCAUAUCCUUGUAAUUCUCUUCGAGUGAUGGGUUUUGUUUGGCCAACUUGAGCUAUGAUUCUUGCAAUGGGAUAAGUGCUUGGUUUUGGGUCCAUACCGUGCGGUGACCUCACCCAGUGACAGAAGGAGUAGCGAGGAACGCAUCGUGUUGUUGCCAUCAAGGGUAAUAAGAUGGGGUUUACAUCAUUGGUUUGAGUUUAUCCCUCUACAUCAUGUUAUCUUGCUUAAGGUGUUACUCUGUUUGUCAUGAACUCAAUACAAUAGAUGCAUGCUGGAUAGCGGUCGAUGUGUGGAGUAAUAGUAGUAGAUGCAGACAGUAUCGGUCUACUUGUCUCGGACGUGAUGCCUAUAUGUAUGAUCAUUGUCUUAGAUAUCGUCAUGACUUUGCGCGGUUCUAUCAAUUGCUCGACAGUAAUUUGUUCACCCACCGUAAUAUUUGCUACUUUGAGAGAAGCCUCUAGUGAACACUAUGGCCCCCGGGUCUACUUCACAUCAUAUUUUCAGCCUUUCACUUUUACUUCGUUGCACUUUCCGCCUUCAGUUCUCACUUUGCAAUCAAUCUUGAAGGGAUUGAUAACCCCUUUAUAGCGUUGGGUGCAAGCUCGUUUGUGUUUGCGCAGGUACUCUGGACACUUGGCUUGAUUAUCCUACUGGAUUGAUACCUUGGUUCUCAAACCGAGGGAAAUACUUACUGCUCGUGUGCUGUAUCACCCUUUCCUCUUCAAGGGGAAACCAAUGCAAGCUCAAGAUGCAGCAGAAGGAUUUCUGGCGCCGUUGCCGGGGACUUAUGGCGCCGUAGCAGCGGCCAACUCCAGUUCCAUGCUGGCGCGCUGCGCCGCGAGCAUGCCCAAGUUUAGGUUGCGAUACCAGGACUUGGCAAGGCGAAGCACCAUAUAUGCCCCAGCUUGUGCAGCUGACGCACACGAGGCGUCCAGCUGGGAAGUUCCUACCUCGAGCCAUCAGGACAGCCGGCUCAUUGACGCUGGCUCCACCGUGUCCGGCCAAAGGGCAUUCACCAUCGCCAACCCGGACUCCUGGAGCGAGGUCAGGGACUGCAACAGCUCCCACAUAUGGGCCCUGGCGGCAAGGGCCACCUCCUCCGCGGUCUAGCCGGCACUAAUAUUCACCAUGGCGCCGGCGGCACGUCGUUCUUUGCGAUGAGCCUCUACAGCCGUGUCCACCGCAUCUCAAUUCCCUAGAAAGAGAUGGUGGGGGGCAAUGGCGGGGUCAUGGCGUAAAGAAGGAGAAAAAAGAAUUCAACAAUAAAAAGACAAGAUGAGGCAGGGACGACUCACGGUUGAGAAGGAUGUCGACUUCGCCCGCCUCCUCCUCAACCUCGCGGUCCUGGACCGCACACUCCUAAGCCUGGCGAGCGAGCUUGUUCCCCAGGGCCUGUGUCGCCUUAACUUCCUUCGCCAGUUGAGCUUUCAUGUCCUUCAUGGCGGCGUCCUGCUGCGCCUUUUCGUCAAGGCGCAGCUUCUCCAAACGUUCAAGCUCGAUGGCUUGGGAGGCAUCCUUCCGCAACAUGUUGUCGUUGUGUCCGACGCGCAGCCGCUCCAGCUCCGUUUGAUGGGCCGCCUCGUGGUCCUUCUUCUCCAUCUGGAGAAGCUCUACUUCCUGACGUAGCCGGCCGCCCUCACCGCGCAAGGCGUCGCGCUCCGUGACGGCUCGGUCGAGCCGGCCUUGAAGGUCGCCUGUUUGUUCUAUGUAAUGAUCAUUGGCAUGAAUAAACAUUGCAUAACUAUGCGCUUUUAUACCAAUUUACCAACAAUAAUUUGUUUACCACCGUAUGCUUUUCUACCAAUUUAACAACAGUAAUAUGUUCACCCACCGUAUGUUUCCUACGGGAGACAAGCCUCUAGCGAAAACUAUCGCCCCGGGGUCUAUUCACAAAUAUAUUUACAAAAAUACUAAAUACUUCUUUGAAUUUUAUUAUUUGUAUUUAUUUUUUAUAUUUAAUAUAUUUUAGCUAUCUAUAUAUCACUACUUACCGUUUGCAAGUAACUAGUUCAAGGCGAUUGACAACCCUCUUGCUCGCGUUGGGUGCAAUUGUUUGCUAUUUUGUGUGUAGGCGCUGAACACAGGAAAAUGUGUCGUUCUUCUAUUGGUUUAAUAACCUUGGUUCUCACUGAGGAAAUACUUAUCUAUUCUCUGCUUCAUCAACUCCUCUUUGGGGAUAAAUCCAACGCAGAUCACAAUUAUCACGCGUGCGUUCCCACCCAACAUCGGCGGCCCACAUUCAUACCGAUGUAGAGCGGUCGCUCCGCAUUGAAGCCAUCCCGGAGCGGAUGUGGCAUCUCACUAGCACCGACGUUGAAGCGGUGCAUCGACCGACAGUGCCGCCCAUUGCACACCCGUGUGAGCAUGCCUCUUCGCUGCACUCAAACGCCUCUAUUAAACCCGCAUGUGUGCCAAGAAACCUAUUAUAGUAACAUGUCCAUUUGCGAGAUAGUCGGCCUUAAACACAACACCGGGAAAGCUCCCUGCGCCCGCCUGCUAUAUAAAGGAGGCCAGACGCUGGUAAAGGAUCGCACCACUCCUCCACUCCACAUCUCCCCCUUCCACCAUUUUCCCCCCCUUUCCAUGGCAUCCGACGAGUAGGAAGAGCAGUUGUCCAGUAUAAAAGUUGGUUGGGUGGCUCGCUGAGCCCUCUAGAUACGAACUAGGCAACUUGCUGCUCCUCCUCCCUCGCCGAGCUCGACAAAGAAAGUGGCCGCACCAAGCCGGCGCCUAGUUCAACAACUCUCUAUUCCAAGCCAGCUCACAGAGGAGUAGAGAGUUGCUCCAGACCGGCAUGGUGGAACUGACAUCAUGGCUGCCAUGGACGAGGCCAGGCGCCAAGCCAUCCAGCGUCGACUUUCGCGGAACCGCGUCGUGCUUGUGGACAAAGAAACUAGCUUGGAGAUUGACAAGGCUGCGGGGUUCGUGGGAGUUACCCGCAACUCUCAUACCAGUCGUGCAUGGCAAAAUUUUAGUCAUCGACUUGACUCAUUCCCGUAACCCACGGUGCCGCGCGGCGCAACGCGGCGCGGCGUGGCGAGGAGAGGCGGGCGACGGAGGAGCGCGCGUGUAUGUCUCUCUUGUUCUCAUGCUCAUACAUGUGUGAAACAUCAUCCCUUAUAAGGAGGUCCAACUCCUACCAAACUAGCAACGUGGGACUAAACUUUAGUUCCACCUCUUUCCUUGCACGAAUGGGAUAAGUGGGCCUCUAGGAUUUAUUGGAAAUUCUGAAGAAGAUCAUUGGGCUAGCCCAAAAUUAUUAAAUUCCAGCAAUCCCCCACCAGAUCCUAGAGGCACAAAAAAAUUGCCUUUGGUUCCAAAACACUGUUUAUAUACCGGUACUGCACAGGAGACUAUUAAGUUUAACUUCCACCUAGAACUAUAUGUUAUACUAGUAAGCAACUUGAAUAGUGGACUAUGCCUUGAACUGCAAGUUUUCUGUGAAUCUAGUUUCACAUAGAGCCUUGACUGAUACUAGGCUACCGUUGGUGGAGCUUAUGCGUCAUACUCCGAGGACUUUCAUAAGUUUACUAGAGAGCACCCUACUCUCAUAGAUUGCGAUGUUAACAAUCAGACUCAUGUAGGUGUGUUCUUCAAAAGAGUUCUGUAGGACAACAUCUCUGCUUCAACAAGACAUUUAGAACAUAUAAAGAUAUAUAUCAACCUUCCAUGCAUAUUAGGAAAGUAUUGCAUCUUCAUGGAGUGGUAUUAUCAAUGGUAAGGAUACUUUCCUCUCACUUGACCAACAACUUGUCUUCCACAUCUAAUUCACGGGAUCUCCGGUCACAUUGAAUAGUUUAGCACCGUGAACAACUCAUAUUGUGGGUCUCAUACCCAUCCCCUUCGAUGCAUUAUAUAUCACAUUACAAGAUAGACCCUUAGUAAAAGGAUAUGCCAAAUUUUUAGAUGUUUGGAUAUAAUCCAAUGAAAUAACUCCGGAGUUUCUCAUUUUCCUCACAGAGUUUAACCUUCACUGAACAUGUCUUGAUGACUUCAUGUUAUCCUAUGAACUACUCACUUUUGCACUUACAGUUUGAUUGUUGUGGUUCAUAAGAACACCUGGUGCAGGUUUCUCAACAAACUAUAAGUCAUUCAAGAGCCGACGAAGCCAAUCUUCUUCGCCAUAGCUGUAUCUAGUGUUGUGAGUUCUGCUUCCAUUGUUGACCUCGUUAAGAUUGUUUGCUUGCAAGACUUCCAAGAAACAGCGCCACCACCAUGAGUAAAUACAUAUCCGCUCGUGGCCUUUAUCUCAUCAGCAUGAGAGAUCCAGUUUGAGUCACUAUACCCUUCAAGUACCUUUGGGUACCGAGUGUAUUGAAUUCCAUAACUCGUAGUGCCCUUCAAAUAGCGCAUAACUCUUUCUAGAGCUUUCCAAUGAUCAUCUCCUGGUUUUGAGACAAACCGGCUCAGCUUGCUAGCAGCAAAAGAGAUGUCACGUCUCGUAGCGCUUGCUAAAUACAUGAGCGAGCCAAUUAUUUGGGAUUAUUUCAAUUGAUCUCUAGCAAUUAUUCGAUUCUUUCGAAGCAACACGCUAGCAUCAUAAGGUGUUGGAGAAGGCUUGCAGUUAGUAUAACCAAAGUGACUCAAGAGAUUUUCCACAUAGUGAGAAUGAAGCAAAGUAAUCGCACCGUCAUCACUUCUCAGCAGCUUGAUAUUCAGAAUAACAUUAGCUAAUCCUAAAUCCUUUAUCUCGAAACAACGAGAUAGGAAAUCCUUGACUUCCUUAAUAACAUUCAUAUUUGUUCCGAAAAUCAAUAUGUCUUCAACAUAUAAGCAGAGGAUAACUCCCUCGCCCCCACCAUGGCGAUAGUACACACAUUUGUCAGCUUCGUUUACAACAAAGCCUACACCUAUUAAAGUUCUUUCAAACUUCUCAUGCCACUUCUUAGGUGCUUGCUUAAGUCCAUACAAUGACUUCAAAAAUUUGCACACUUUUCCCUCAUGACCGUCCAUUAUAAAUCCAUAUGGUUGUUCCAUAUAAAUUUCCUCGUCCAACUCUCCAUUUAGGGAAGCAGUCUUAACUUCCAUUUGGUGGACGAGAAUACCAUGUGAAGCUCCUAGUGAAAGAAGUACUAGAAUAGUGGUCAGUCGAGCCAUAGGUGAGUAAGUGUCAAAGAAGUCUUCACCUUCCUUUUGGGUAUAACCUUUGGCCACGAGUCAUGCCUUGUACUUCUCAAUAGUACUAUCAGGCCUAAGAUUCUUCUUGAAUACCCAUUUGCAGCCUAUAGGUUUGCACACAUAGGGACAAUCAGUUAUCUCACAAGUUUCAUUUGCGAGGAUGGAAUCCAUCUCACUACAAACCGCUUCCUUCUAGUAGUCAGCAUCUUCAGAUACAUAAGCCUCUGAAAUAGAACUGGGAGUGUCUUUUAUGAGAUAUACAAGAAAAUCAUCACCAAAGGACUUUGUAGUCCUUUGACUCUUGCUCCUUUUAGGAUUCUCCUUGUUGUUCUCCACAGGAUCUUCAAGAUGUUGUGUUGCAAUAGUCGGUUCAGAAGGUGCACCUACAUCUUGACUCGAUAAGCUAGGCAUCUCCUGAUUUGAUGCGCUAGCCAUAUCCUUAAUGGGAAAUAUAUCUUCAAAGAAGGUCACAUCAUUCCACUCCAUGAUUGUGCCAACAUGCAUGUCAGAUACCUCAUAUUUUAUAAUCAAGAAUCUACAACCAAUGCUAUGAAAAUAUACCCCAGGAAAACAUAAUCCACAGUUUUUGGCCCAAGCUUUCGCUUCUUUGGAAUUGGUAUAUUGACUUUUGCCAAGCAGCCCGAAGUUCAUAGGUAAGAGAGUUUUAACCUUUUCUUCUCCCAUUCCUCAAAUGGAGUUAUCUCUUUGUUCUUUGUGGGAACUCGGUUUAGGACAUGACAUGCAGUCAAAAUCGCAUCCCCCACCAUGCCUUGGAGAGACCUGAUAUGACUAAAAUGGCGUUAACAAAAUCAGUUGGAGUGUGGUUCUUCAUUUCAGCUACCCCAUCUGACUGAGGUGAAUAGGGAGGCGUUCUCUCAUGGAUUAUACCAUGUUCGGCACAAAAAGAAUCAAAUUCAUUGAAAAAAUACUCUCCACCAUGAUCAGACCUAAGCCUCUUAAUUUUCUGAUCAAGUUUGUUUUCCACUUUAGCUUUAUAGAUCUUGAAGAAAUUCAAAGCCUCAUCUUUAGAUUUUAAAAGAUACAGAUGGUACCAUCUAGUGGAGUCAUCGAUUAAUGUCAUAAAAUAUGACUUUCCACCUUUCGUCAAAAACACUGUUCAUUUCACAAAGAUCUGAAUGUAUGAGUUGUAGUGGCGCAAGAUUUCUUGUUUCUGCAGUUGCAUGAGACUUACGAGGUUGCUUAGCUUGCACACAAACUUGACCCUUAGAUCCCUUGAUAGAAGUGAAGUUCAGGAUCAAGUUCAACUUGACUAGCCGCGUCAUAGAACCAAAAUUAACAUGACAAAGACGUGAAUGAAAGACAUUUGAUUCUCUAUUAUUGCAAACGUGAUUAAACCCUUUAUUACAAAACAUCUAAUAAAGAUAGUCUGAACAAGCCUCCUGACUCAUAACCUUUACCAAGAAAAGUUCCAUACUUGGAUAUAAAAUUUAUUGGACUGAAAGACAAACUUGUAGCCAUCUCAACAUAGAGGAGAUCCACUAACAAGAUUUUUAUUAUCGGAGGGUACAUAAUGCAUGUUCUUCAGCCGCAUUAUUUUUCCUGAAGUAAACUUCAGAUCGACCGUGCCAACACCACGAACAUAAGCACUUGAACCGUUUCCCGCCAGGAUGGAGGUAGUCCCUGCGGCCUGAUAUGAAGAAAACAUAGAAAUAUCACCGCAUAUAUGCACAUUAACACCCGUAUCAAUCAACCAAUCAGGAGAACGACAUAGUGAGAGAAUAGUGGGAAGUAUACCAUACCCAACAUCCUGCAUCUCAGCAUCACCAAUGAUAACAUUAGCAAUCUUGUCGCCUUUCCCAUGUUGACGCUUUUCAUAACGGUUAGGGCAACUAGGUGCCCAAUGAUGAGGAUCUCCGCAAACAUGACAAACACCUUUCUUUUUGUCAGUCUUCUUCUUGAGUGUGCUGUGAAGCCUUGUUCUUCCCAUCAAACUUUCCCUUACCAUCAAAUUUGCCCUUGUUAUUGAACUUGUGGGGUUGGAAGUUUUUCUUCUGCACCAGAUUGGCACUAGAACCUCCUUCCAUACCUCAAGCAUGUAUGUCUUGCCUUUUCUUCCACAUCAAGAUUACCAAUGAGAUCCGGAACGGAAAACUCCUUCCUCUUAUGAGUGGGAGAGGUAGCAAAGUUCCUCCAUGAAGGAGGAAGCUUAGUAAUAAUACCUCCGGCAACAAACUUCACCGGUAACAUACAAUUGAAGUUCUCAAGUUCUCCAGCAAAUGAUUGUAUCUCGUGAGCUUGUUCAACCACAGAACGCUCAUCAGUCAUCUUUAUUCAUAGAAUUGUUCCAUGAUAUACAGCUUAGUGCCAGCAUUCGAGACUCCAAACUUGGCCUCGAGCACGCUCCACAUAUCUUUCCAUUGUCAAUUGACGCAUAAGCAUCAACAAUGUUCUCACCAAGAAUACUCAAGAGAGCAUCCUUAAACAAGGUAUCAAUUUUCUGAAAAGCGAAUUCCUGUUGAGGAUCAAGAAUUCCUUCAGGUUUGCCAAGAGUGGCAUCGUAGCAGCUCAUGGUUUGAAACCAUAGAACAUCCCUUACACACCAUCUCUUAUAGUGCACACCCUCGAACAUAGGAGGCCUCAUGGAAGCAGCAAAACCACUCGGGGUAAAUUUCCUAAAAUAAGGUCUUCGGAUUGUUGGAAAUAUGAGCGAUUUACCAAGUGAUUUUACUAGCAGAAAUAGUAGAUGAAUCAUGACUACCAUAGCAAUUAUAAGACAAGCCAGUCGAUUAUACACAGAGUAUGCAAGUAGCAUAUGAAGUGAUGAGCAGGAACGAAACAUAUCUAGAAAAGAAACUAUAACAAGAAGUUGUGGCAGGAACUCAAACAAGAAGAACACGAGAACAUACUGAGUUGGAGCAGCAGCUAUAGUGGGAUUUGCGUUGACGUCGUCAUUGGCCAUGUUGCCGAAGAGGCUGUCGAUGUCGGGGAAGAAGUCGUCAUCCGGGAAGUAGUCGUCAGCGUUCGUGAUGGAAAAGCCAGUAGUCGCAUUGAGCGCUCCCCAAAAACCUUAUCGCCCUUCUCCAGUACAUGACUCAAAGAGACGGGGUUUCGGAGGCCUACUGUUCCGACCUGCGGUGCACGUCGCAAGCCGGGGCGGGGAAAAGCUAGCAGUAGCUCAGAGAUUGGAACUCGUUGGCAUGAGGAAGAUGGUAUUCUCGUGUGUCUCUCUGGAGAGGAGCGACCUGUCUUUUAUAGGCCCAUGAGAAGGAGGCAGGCACGCAACAUCGGGAGGCGAAGCAAAAGAGAUUGCAGUCAGGUUGAUAAUAGUCGAGUGACAUUACUUCGUCGGUCCAAACUAAGGAAUCUGUUAUAAAUGUUUUGAAAUAGAUAUUGUUCUCUCUUUGAUCAGGGAUUGCUAUAUGAAAAUAAGUGGAGUUUGAAAAAGGGAACGAAAUGCUCAAACCGGAACUGCUAGAGGAACGAAUUUUCAAUAGCAUAACUUGGGCUCCUAGAAUAUGGUGCCCUUGAGACAAUCUAUUUGAUUGCAGGGUUUUGUUCUGAAGCAAAGAUAUCCGCAGAGGACGGUUCGUUCGUCCUAUUCUGAUAUUCAGGACCAAGAGGUACUGCAUUCUCUGGCUGAAAUGCCAACGGAACUCUGUCUAUUCUCUAAUUCACCCGAUCCGAUAGUACCUGUUUUUGGAACGUCCAGUGCCAAAGUCAUUGAAUGGGUAAGUCACGAAUCCAAUCCCUUUGACAAAUCGGAUGUCAUAUUAUAUAUCAUAUCCUAUAUAUAUAUAUAGAAAUAUCAUAGAUACCCCGUUUCGUGACGAGGCGAGACGGGCGGCGGAGGAGGAGGAGCGUGCGUGUAUGUCUCUCUUGUUCUCAUGCUCAUACAUGUGUGGAAACAUCCUUUCUUAUAAGGAGGUCCAACUCCUACCAAACUAGCAAUGUGGGACUAAACUUUAGUCCCUCCUCUUGCCUUGCACGAGUGGGCUAAGUGGGCCUCUAGGAUUUAUUAGAAAUUCUGAAAAAGGUCAUUGGGCUGGCCCAAAAUUAUAAAAUUCUAGCACAUAAUUGGGGGGGGGGGUAUACCUCUGGGGCUCCCGAUAGUCCGAUGAGCAGGCUGCCGGACAUGAGGCAGACAAAGGGAUCCGCAGCGCUCGGCCAUAGAUUAGUGUAGGGUAUCCAUGUCGUUAGAAUGGAGCUCCACGCGACCAGACGUGCACAUAGUUUUACCUAUUUUAGUUCAAAUAUGUCCAAAAUGCAAUGAAUUUAGUCCGGUUUAUAUGAAAUCCGUUGUGUUUGCAUGAGUUUCAUCUGCUUUGUUGGAAAAGUGUUUGAAAUAUACUUCCUCCGUUCCAAAAUAUAAGACCUUUUAGGAAUUUCACUAUAAGACUACACACGGAGCAAAAUGAGUGAAUCUAUACUCUAAAAUAUGUCUAUGUACAUCCGUAUGUAGUUUAUAGUGCAAUCUCUAAAAGGUCUUAUAUUUAGGAACGGAGGGAGUAUGUGAGUAACGAUGGAUGACCGACAACACUCGAGAAUAUCAUUUUUGGUGGUGCUCCUCAGGUGCCGAGUCAUCACUUUCAAGGUGAAAACCUAAGGUCUAACUUUCGUUUUGUGCCUUAUAUUAGAGUAUUUAACCAAAAACCACCAUAAUUCAUGGAAACGUGCCUAGAAACUACUACUAUACGUUUUUGUGCCGAAAGCUACCAUUUUUAUCCUAAUCAGUGGCAAAAAACUACCAAGUGUGAAUAUUGCUCCAUUAGCCUCUUUGAAAUGCCUUUUAUCCUAAUCCGUUAACUACUCCAUUAACCUACCUGGCGCAGCCCCGCCGCCGUCGCCAUGGCCUCGCCCAAAGCGGCGGCCGCCCCGUGCCUCGCCGUCGGCAGGCCUCCUUGUCGCCGACCACGUCGCCGUCGGAUCCCGGCGUCCUGCGAACCGCCCCACGCUGCCAGUCUCCAUGCCCUCGCACCGAGCGGCGGCCGCCCCGCGCCUCGCGGCCGAAGGCCUCCCGUCGUGGACCCUGCCGUGGUUGGAUCCCACCGCCUCGCCUCCCUGGCGCAGCCUCGUUGCCCCGUGAACCGCCCCGCGCCGUCCAUCGCCAUGGCCUCGCCUCGAGCGGUCGUCGCCAGCGUCUCGCCGUCACCAGAUCCGGCAGGCGUCGCCCUGGUUCCGCCUCUCCCGGACCUCCCCGCCGCCCUGCUCAUGCCGGAGUGCUGCGUGUAGAUCGCGUCGUCUCCUCCAGAUCCGGUCGCACCGCCGCCGUACUUCAUCUUCUCCACCUCCGGUGAAGGCCGCCGCCGUCUCGAUCUCUUUCUCCGGUGACGGCAAACUUAACGGUGCUGACUUUUCCGUCCUGACAUGUGGGCCAACCCUGUCAUAAUGAGUUUAAACGAGCCAAAUGAGGCGUUUUGCAGACUUGAUUGUUUUUAGUCACAGAUUAGCAAAAAAAAAUUGAUAGUUUUUGGCGCAAAAACGAAUUGUGAUAGUUCCUGGGCACGUUGGCGUGAAUUGUAGUAGUUUUUGAUUAAAUACUCCUCAUAUUACCUUGAUGAAGGUAUUGUUUCGAGAGCUCGGUCUUUUUAAGGGAGAAAACCUAAGAUCUUGGAUCGGACGACGAUGACGCUUGUGCACCGAUUUUUUUUUAAAGGCAUCAUUUUUUAGGAUGGUUUGAGUGUCGCUGCUGCUGAGAAGAGUUGUUCACUGUGACGAGUAGUUGAAAAUGCUCUUACUAUUACAUUUUUCUUUCAAACACGUUACAGUUUACUCCCACCUCAAGUAGUUCCGAGCUACUGUACGUAGUAGCCACACACAUGGAGCGACUCACUCACCUCCAACCAAUUUAACUUUCGUGAAUCUUUGAUCGCUUUUCAUUUGGCCCAGCUCGACGUCACGCGGAUGUCCCCGAUGGAUCUCGCCGGCCACACGCCCCUCGACGACGACGAGAUGAGCAGCGUGUGAUCCUCGUCGCCCCGUCCAUCCAACCGAAGAUAAGACGCCCACUCCCUCCCCUCCACAUGGCACCCACCCUCCAAUCCCUUACUUAUUCCCGCCCCCCUCACUCCUCCAUCCCCUAGCUCCACCUCUCAUCCGCUCCUCAGCCACACCUAGAGCAUCUUAGCUCCAGCUAGCCACCAAUGGCCGCCGCACUGAGCCUCCGCGCGCCCUUCUCCGUGCGCGCUGUGGCGCCACCGGCGCCCCGCGUGGCCCUUGCGCCCGCGGCCCUCAGCCUCGCCGCCGCCAAGCAGGUGCGGGGAGCCAGGCUCCGCGCGCAGGCGACGUACAAGGUGAAGCUGGUGACGCCCGAGGGCGAGGUGGAGCUGGAGGUCCCCGACGACGUCUACAUCCUGGACCAGGCCGAGGAGGAGGGCAUCGACCUGCCCUACUCCUGCCGCGCCGGCUCCUGCUCCUCCUGCGCCGGCAAGUUGGUGUCCGGCGAGAUCGACCAGUCCGACCAGAGCUUCCUCGACGACGACCAGAUGGAGGCAGGGUGGGUGCUCACCUGCCACGCCUACCCCAAGUCCGACAUCGUCAUCGAGACCCACAAGGAGGAGGAGCUCACCGCAUAAGCUGCUUACCCUGCCUCUCUUUGCAACAAGAUCGAGCUGAUAUCAUAUUAUCUCCCAUCAUGCAUGCAUGCAUGGAUAUCGCCAGAUACACCGAUUUGUUUGUGCUCGAAUGAAUUGCUCGAUGCAUGGUUUGCUCCAGUAAUAAUGUCUUCGAAUUACUACCUUUUUGUACCGUAAGAUAUACUACUGUCGUAAUACUAGCGUGUACUUAAUUCAACGUACUGAAAUGAAUCCUGAU
This 46757-nucleotide long non-coding RNA is filed under the name Hordeum vulgare. Its description in RNAcentral is "long non-coding RNA (HVUL_LNC019543)". The record is from RNAcentral. Lineage: Eukaryota; Viridiplantae; Streptophyta; Magnoliopsida; Poales; Poaceae.